UUUUAUAAAUCUAUGCGAGUUUUGCAACAAGUGCAUGUAAAACGGGAAAUCCAGCAUGUUAGUUGCAUGGUAAUAGUUUAAUAAUAUUACCACAGCUGGUCCUGCUUCACGGUGACCAUGGUGCAUCGGAUAAUCAGUAGGUGUUCCAACCCCAAUUUGGCCAUUGCUUUCAAGGAGAGCUUGCUGUUGAAUCUCAUGAUGAGCCUGUUUCUGCUGUUCAUCAGUUCCCUGGUUAUCUGAACACAAUGAAAUGAAAUAUACAAUGACUGAUACAGAAAAUGCACUCGAACUCAUUUAAAAGAGACCGUAGUACACUCAUCUACAUAUUUUCAACAAAAAUAACAUAUCCAAAUACCCCCCCAAAAAUUUGCUUGGAAUGCAUGCACCAUUUGAUACAAGGAAUUUGCCAAAACACCAAUAUCCCAGCAUCCAAAAAUAAGCAAUUGUGCUAGUACACAGGGAACUUAGUUGAUUUCGCUCCAUCUGCCUAUAAAUCAGUUUUCUGCAUUGCUUCUAGUAUACACAGUAACAUAAACUCACACUCGUAAUUAUAAGUGCAUUAAAAUCAUUUAUAUAUAUUAUGUUGAACAUAUGAGCAGUUGAUUUUAUGCUAAUUUGGGUGGAAGGUGCAGUACCUGACAGAUGUUGCACUGAAGAAGUCAUGAUCUUCUAAUUCCAGACUAAAACAGAAAGAAGAAAAGGCAGCAGCUUCAGAUUCAAGAUAAAAAGAGAAACCAAGUAACCAAACACAGAGCCCGGCGUAAAUAUAGCCACAAAAGAGAUUAGUUCAUGAAUUUCCCAAAAUAGCAAACAUGAUUCUUUUUUUUCUUUUUUCUUUUUUUCUUUUAGCCUAUAAAAUCAACAACUUAUCAGCAGAACAAAUUUCAAUAAGCAGAUUGGAAUGAAGAAGUCAUUCACUACAGAUAUCACUGUGUUAUUUAAACUGAAACAACAUAGAAGGAAUCUAAGUUCUCCAAAUUUCAGCCGACAAACAAGAAGAUGAAUUCGCGAUUAUGAUAUGUCAUCACAGACACAAUUUUUAUGCUUGAAAACAAUAAUACUCUGCAUAGAUUCGAUUAUUUUUCUUUUUGAAUGUAAAGCACAAGAUGAAUUUUCGCGCGAAUCAUUAAAGGAAUAAGAAAAAUAUAGAGUACGAACUCAUAUCCCCCCACACGACCACUACUUUGGCGAUCAACCCAAAUCAAGCUCAAUUGUCUAAACCAACUGCAACAAUCACAAAUGCUACGACCAAUCAUUCCACCGUUCGCAGAACGACCAAUCAAGUAUCAGAUACUCCACAUACACUCCACACGAAUUCAAAUCUCAUAUAAAAUCCAUCACACAAGAGUCAUCAGAUUCAAACGGAGAUCACUGCAACAAAACGCAGAAUCUAAGCUAGUUCAAUUCCAGGUUCAUCAAAAUUUGGGAUAAUUCUUCAAAUCCACAAAAAUAAACUCACAAUUCUUUAAGGAACAGAGCCGCGUCACAAUCGAACAUUUGGGGUUUCAACCGGAAAUAAAGAUUGAUUUGGAAUGAACGAUUCGAUUUGGGACGAAACCCUAGAUCGAACGAAACUAAUUAUAUUAUAAUUAAUUAAUAAUAAUACGUUUCCGUACCUGUAUCGUUUUGGGAGUAAGUGGAGUUCCUUCGUUGGGGGAACUCCGAAACGGAUCUCUUCUUCAGCGGGAAGUGUACUUCCUCUGUACUAAACCCCUCCUCGCCAUUUAUCCGCUUCGGGUUAGAGAUUCAAAGCAUAAAUAUUUAAACAAAUUUUUAUUUCCCUUCACCACAAAAUAUACGAAUAGUCCCUGUAUUAUCCCGCUAUUGAUACUCGGGUCCUUUAACUUAUAUAUAGUGUCACACUUUAACCCAUCAUCAUUUAAAUUAGAUCCUACUGAUUUUUUUAAUAUCGUACCUGUUAUUUCAAAGAAACAAAAGUUCAAACUUGUUCUUGCAAAGUGAUCACUGAAUCCUUGUCAGUUGAAAUAAGAUUGAAAUGAUUAUUAUAGAUAAAGUAGCAUUUUUUUUUAAAAAAAAAGCUUAUAGAGACUAAAUUACUUAAGGGUGAGUUGAAAUAUUGGGAUAAUACAGGGGAUAUCCAUAAAGUUUACACAGCUUCUUAUUCUGGAGAUAAAACGAGUGAUCUUGGCCGUUCGUUUCGAUAGAGAGAGUAUCGCGGGCAGCGGCAAAGCUGCCCGAAGGCCGGGGACGGGCAGAACGGGCAGCGUCUGGUGUCCACUAACGGAUCGGUGGGGUCCACGCUCACAGUUGGCGUGUGAGGAGUGGUGAAGGGGCUACCUGCCCGCUGACCGCGGUCAACCGUGUUCGGUGGUUAGUCGUCCACGUGUCCCCCUCUUUGUUCUUGGUUGGACAGGUGUGCUUCGGUCAAUUCCGGCCGUCUGAUAUCAGAUUGAUGUGAUCGACGGCCUACACGUAGUGCGAGGUGUCCCGUCUAUUUGUACCGUCGGAUGUAAGAUUGAGAUGUGACAGCUGUUGCGACGUGGCGGGAUACAAGGAAAAUAAUAUACCACAGAAUUAAAGAAGUUUGUGCUUAACCUCUGAAUGUCUCUUUUUAAUUAUUUAUAAUAAUUUUUAGAUUAAUAUUAUUAUUCUAAAAAGAUCAUCCAAUUCUAGAAAAGAACAUUAUCAUCCCAACAGCAUAAUUUUUUAUCUAAAAAUUAAAAAAUCAAAAAUACGAACCACCUUAUACUUCAAAAAAUAUAGUAGCCCUAUAUUAUAUAUGGAUGUAUAUAUAAGUUUACGCGGUGUUAAGCCAUGUGGGCUCCGCAAAAGUCGGAGAUCGACCUUACACGAACUCACGACUUACCUUACACGAACUCACGACUUUCGUGUCGGACUUCGGUCUAAACGAACACGCCCAAACGUCGAGGUGGCAUCAGGAGCCAAUUUUAAAAAACUCAGCACGAUUUUUGAAAAGAAGUAUACUUUGAAACCUGCUUGUGGGAAAUGCUGCUUAUAAAUAGCUUUUCGACAAUUCCAUAAAAAAUUUAUAUACUAAAACCAAGUAACACACUCUCUGAAUGCAAUAAAUAUGAAUCAAGCGACAAUCCAGUACGAGAGAAACUAUUUCUUAAAGUAUUUAACAAUAUUUUAAAUUUAAAACCAACCAGCAUGCACACUCCUCCGUUACAACUUUAUUACAGCUUUAUCCUCGCAAUGAAUGAAGCAGGUAGCUCGCUACCUAUUUCAAAACAACGAAAAUAUACAACCAGCUUAACGUUAUUUUGUGCUAAUGAUGUGAUUAGUAUGCUAUCUGAGACAUUGGAGGAAAUUGAAAAAUAGCUGCUAUAAAAUGUGACCAGAACCAACAACAUUUCAAGCAUUCAUUUGGAAAGAAAAUGAAGUUAAAAUAUAAUCACACCUUCCUAUCUUCUAUUUGUUGGUCAAGUCUCUUAUAGCCUUUAAAAGAACAAGCAAACAUCAUACAGAAUUCAUCCAAAGAAUUGAAUCUUUUGAGACCACAACCAUUUUUGUUGUCACACCUAUAAAUAAGGGAAAAAAAUGAAUAAAGGGAGAAGAAAACUAACUUACAAGCAUAUGAUGUCGAAGGGGGAGAGAGAGAGAGGGAGAGAGAGAGAGAGAGAGAGAGCGCUCAGAGAACCGUAGAUAACUGUUUCUUGUGUUUUGAUGCCUUCAAUUGCGGCUUCUCGCUCCUCAGCUGCUCGCUGACAGAACUGUCUUGGGCGCUGCACAUCUGCGACUUGAUUUUGAAUCCCAACUUUCUUGAGACGUUGUUAUUCCGGCGAUGUGUUAUUCGACCCAACUUCUCAAUUUCCUGCUUCAUGCUCAAGCACUCCUUUUCGAGCUCCGAGACCCUCAUCCUCAUGUUGUCCAUGCUCACCUUCAAUACUUGGUUCUCCCUGACAGCCGUGGCCCAACCCCCACCGCCUUCGCCUGAAACCGCUAACCCACUCCGUAAGGGCCUUGAUCCAUCGAGAUUAUCAGAGACAAGUAAGCAACCCGCGAUCGAGGUCCGAAGUUGUAGCUGUUCGAAGAAGAGGACUUGAACGACAAUCCGUAGUGGAAGCCGCUCGUUUUGAGCGGCGUGAGUGCACGCUUCUAGGGAGAGUUUCUGGCAGUCCAUAAGCCGGCAGAGCUGCUCUCUCUCGGAUUCCGCUAGCCAAGGGUGUGCCUGUGGGUGUUAAAAUUGGUGUAAUUUAUGAAUCAAUGUAAUGACAGUGCCUUGGACACAGGAUCAUUGGCCUGGUAUUACAAGUUAGUCUAUGAAAAGUUCAGCGACUAGGUUGCAUCCGUACAGACCCGACCAAAGAAUUAACGACAAGGAGAUGAUUUUAUCAUGACACAAUGCAGCAGCCCAUCGAACUUUGGUUUUGAAAUUCUCCAUAUAUGAGAGAAAAAAGCAUCGAAGUUGUCACUCAUCUGGGAAAAUCUUCAAAACAUUCUAAGACAACGGAGUUCUGAAAAGAAGCAUUGCUUUCAACUACCACAACAGAAAUAAAAUAGAAGUGUGCCAAGUGGCUAACAAUUACCUUCAAAUAAAUGUCAAUUGCAUGGUAAAGUCCAUCAUCCAGCGGCCGGGCAUAAUCGGGUACAGCAGCAGCAAGAGAUCGAAACUUCUGUGGUUUUAAAUUGACAUCCGGUGCGACCUCUGCGAGAUAAGCAUCAAGUAGCUUGGCUACAUUAGUUAUCGGCGCCAUUGAAUGGGAGCUUGCCGACUGCUCCUCAUCAACCUCAGAUGGGGAGGCCGCACCAACAUUAGCCUGAUCCAUGGCCAAGAAAUGCUCAAGAAUUCUUUGUACGCAAUCGACAUCAUAAAGCGUUUCAGUCGAGUCGGAGAAGUUCGGCAGCAAUAGAUCUUCCAAGGUAGCAUGAUCGAGCUGCAUUCCGAUCCUUCUUUCCAAAUUAGAAAUGCAGGACUCGUCAGCUCUUAGGAUCAUGGCGGUUCGAAGAAGUCCGAAUAGAAUUUUUGUAGAGAUUAAGCCCUUUUCGAGGGGUAGCAAUCUUUCAAUCUCUUGAAGAAGCUGCCUUUGUUCUUCUUCAGGUGGCACAGAUGUUAAAGGAACAGAUCCCAAACUAUGCCGCCUAUGCAAUCCAGGGAGAUAUUUUUUAGCAUAACAUGUUAAGGACCCCGCAAUAAUCUCCCGUCUGAUUCCCCGAGAUUCCAUUACAGAGAUUAGUCUUGUAUGCAUAGGGAAGCUCAAGGAUGAAACAUCAUCGAACCACCAAUCUGAACUACUAUUUCUGGGCCGAGCCCCUGUGCUUAUUCCAUUCCACAAAACACUCCCUCCUGGGCUCUGCAUGGUUCCAUGCUCCAUUAUGGGCCAGCCAAAAAGGUUCGGAUCUGUGCAAGCUUUAACAGCUAAUGAUUCAAUGCAUUUCUUCACGAUAUUUAGAUUUUCAGCAUAAGGGAGGAGAUCGUCGCAUGUUUUAAGGGCUUUUAGUGAAUCUUUCCAGCUACGGAGAACUACUUGGUUGAGGAAUAACUCGGUCUGGGCAAUCAGGUUGCCCUCGUGGAUUUCUUCGGUCAUUUCGAGAUACUCAGCUGCACAUCGGAGGUAGACGACAUUCGAGGCAGUGAGCUCUAGCUUUACACCAUAGCAGAACCUGGCCACAAGCUCAAAUGAUUUCGCGCCGCCUGGAAUAUCGGGUAGCUUUAUGAUGCAGCCAUCAUCUUUGUCGGAAUUCUCCGUUAUCAGUUUCUCCAAGAGGCCGCUUUUGGAUAUCAGAGGGAACUGCAAGCAUGUAACCAUAUAAUAGUAAAAACAUCAUAAAUGCAACACAAACAUCAGUUUAUCAUAGGUAAAAACCUACCGAUCCUACAUGUACAAUAGGCAUAUUAAAACGGGUACAAGAACUUACAAAAUUUUGACGUUAGUACCUAACCUUGCAAUGUGGUUGAUUUGCAUAAUUCUACAUCAAAUUAAAAUUUAACAGGAUAUUUAAAACUUUUACAGAAUAUUCUGUAACUUGGGUGAAUAUUCCACAUCUUCUUUGAUUGAAAUAGUUAAGUUUUAAGAAAGCUUUACAAGUUUUUCUGAAAUAAUAAUCAAUGAAAAGUUAGGUAGGAUAAUAAAAAAAAAUUUAAGUACAGAUGCCCAUUUCAGAAUGCAGCAUAGGUUUGUAUGUUAUCAAUUUAUAUUAUACGUAUAGCAAAUACGCAUUUAUGAAACAAUCACCUUGUGAAGGUGGAAGGACAUCUCACCAACUUCAACAGUAACAUCACUGGGGAGUCCGGUUGUACAGAACCUACAGUAUCCAAAAGAGAAUAAGCGACCCGCAUGUAACAUAGAUAUCAGCAAAUGCAAAAAAUACAUCAUACAACUAUCUCCAGAUUAUACUUCGUAUUGCAGAUACACACCAGUGGAAAUGCAAUAAGUGCGUGCUAUGAUAUACCAGUUCUUAUAUCUUUCACGUUCCUUUUUUUAAAAAAAAGAUUUCAUCAUUUUCAAUCGACAAUUGAAGUCAAAACCAAAAUCUAAAAUGGCCAAAAUCACCGAAACCACCAAAACCAAAAUUCUAUGUCUCCAUCAGCCCAGGCUGAAGCCGAUAUUUCAAACCUUGGGUAAACGCAAUAACACAACGAGAAUGAGCACUUUUAUUAAAUGGACUAAAUCGACGAUACAGAACAAAUUCCUUGGAAUCAUGUAUUCAAACAGGGUACAGGACAAUCAAUGAGUUCAAAUUCAUACUUAUCCAAUCAGUAAGAGUGCAAGAUGCUGUCGACAAUACUUAAACAACUCUAGCAGUUAUUGGGUUGGAAGACAUUGUGUAUAUCUCUUAUUUAUUCUGGUAAAAUGUCGUCACUCGAAAUCAAGACUUCUUAGUGGACUUAUUGAUGUAAAUCAUGUACAAGUGCAAAUAGUUCGAAGUUCCAGAAAAUUGUCAAGAAGAUCCCCGAGUUAUAAGCCAAAACUAAAGUCGACAUAUUAUCUCUCUUAUGAAGAGACUAUCGAAGAUCCAGAAAUCAGAAGGCGGAUAGAGAAGAAUUGCGGCAUAAUACUAUAAAUCCUAGAAAACACUAUCCAAUUAAGCAGAUAUUUGAGUCAAUAGAAACUACUCAAAGAUCCUGCAACACAAUCUUUGCAUAAUUUACUACUACAAAACACAAAUUUGUCGUAUCAUCAUGCUUAUAUACAAAUAGUGUAACAAAAUUUUCAAUUUGCAGAUUAUAAUAUUACUUGCAAAAAUUGAAAAGGGAAAAUAAACAUGGGAAAAAAGCAGCAAAAUAAUUAUGGAAAUGGGAAACAUGGGCAUACCAGGCUUGCCCUUGUCUUCGGAAUGUAUCGGAUUUCGAUCCCAAUUUCAUACCGGCCAUCUUCAGAAAACGUAGAUUGGAACUACAAGGUGAAUAAUCGCUUAAUUUUUUGUUAAAAAAAACCUAAUUUUCCACCCUUGAAAUACCCACCAAUCUUAAGGAAACCUACUCUGAAUCGGAAAAUAUGCCCCCAUAGUUUACUCGCGAAGCUGAGAUUUAAGAAAAGCCCAAAAAAACCAUCCUCAAAGAGAAACCCUAAAAUCAAAGAUGAGCAAUUAAACCACCCCCAAAAACCCCAACAAACACCCCCUAAUCCACUCUCAAUAAAACUCGUUCCCCAGCCUAAACUACCAAAAUUAUUCACUAAAUCGAUCAAUUUGGGUCAUAUACCCUACAAAAACCUUGACCUAAUCCCACCAAAGGCUCCAAAAUCUAAUCUUUUAGACCAGAAACUACAAAACCCACAUAUCCAAUUCCCCUCCCCUCACCAAACCCCCAUACACCUAAGAUUCCCCUUCAAAAUAUAAAAUAUAUAUUAAAAGAAAAACCAAAUUUGAACUAAUUAAACCACUAAAUCCAUCACCAAAUCUCCACAUAACUACCCAAGACACUCCAAUCCCUAGCAAAUCCCCCAAAAAACUCAGAUGGGUAAGAGAUUAACGCAAAGAGAACCCUCCCAAAAAAGAGCACUUUCUAUUCCGUCGCUUCCCCUCUCCUCUCAUCCAUAACCUUCCAAAAGUUGCAGCUACAUCCGCGUACAAAGGACUAGUGUGCAGAGUUAGAAACCGAAGGAGAGAGAGAGAGAGAGAGAGAGAGCCAAAGCUUCUAUCCAAAACAACAAAGUUAAAAAAAAGAAAAACAUUAAAAAAAGGUUGGGUUUUUGGCCUCUUUUGACCUUCUCCUUCGCUUCUUCCCCUCCCUGUCUCUCUCUUCUCUUUACUUUGUUUCUCUGUGCUUAUGACUUAUGAGUAGCUUCUAGAACUUUUGGGUCCACCUCUACAGAGAUUCUCUGGAAACAGUGGAAAGUGUCUAUACCCAACCUCAAUAAUACAUAGUUUGCAGUGAAAAUUAUAAAACCAAUAUAUAUAUAUAUAUAUUCCAGUUAUUAUCCUUUUAGGAGACGGAGACUUCAUUUUAUAUGAUAAAAAUUUUGAAUCGAUAAUUCAAAUUAUUAAAGUUAAUUUAAAAUAUUUAAAAUGUCUAGAAACUAUAUUUUAUAUAUUUUAAAAUUCGUUAUCAAGUUCAUUGAAAAUUAAAAAAUGAACAGUAAAAAACGAAUAAUCUUAUGAAAAUAGAUUUUAGACUUUUUAAAUUUAUAAUCAAAGUUAUCAAAUAUUAUUUAAAUAAUAUAAAAAAUUUUCUUUCAAAAAUUCAAGUUGUUUGUACUGUUCUAUGCCGUUAAACAAGCAAACGGCUCAUAUAGGCUAUAAAAUAUUAUUGAUUUUAUGAUUCUUUGAUCACUAUGUAAAUAAUUUUUAAAAUUUAUAAAAUUGUUUCUAGAUACUUUAAAUAUAGAUCAAUUUUAGCAAUUUUCAUCAUCGAUUCAAAAUUUCUAUUAUUUAAAGUAAUUUAGAAGUGCAGAAGUCUCCAUCCUUUUGAAAGAAUACUAGCUGGAUUCUCUCUCUCUCUCUCUCUCUCUCUAUAUAUAUAUAUAUAUUAGUGAUUCUCUCUCUUGUGCAGUACACAUUUGGGCAUUAAAUGUUCUCCACUAAUCCCAUGUGCAUUAUGGAAGUUUAAGAAUAUAAAAACAAUAAGAAAACAGAGUCAAUAUAAGUAAGGAAUCAACUACACCAAUGGUCCUAACUUUUAUUCUUUUUUAAUUUUUUACUUAAUCCUUAACAUUUUAAUUUUGGCAAUCAAAUUCAUGAUGCUUAUUACUUAUUUCAAUAGGAAUCGUUCAGUGAAAUUACCACGUAUGAGGUUUCAGUAGCAACAUAAUUAAUACAAUUUAGAGUAGAUGUAGUAGUUUUCGUCCAAAUUAGCAAACAUUUUGACAUAAAAAAUAUUUUAAAACAACCAACAAAUGUAAAGAAUUUAAUGUUUACAAGUUAUAAUUAUAAAUUUAUAUUUAUCUUCUCGUAACUUAUAUAUUUUUAUUUUUAUAAAGUAUUAAAAAGUAUGUAUUUGUAAGCACAAUGUAUUGUGGGAGCGUACAACUAAGAAAUCAUUUGGGUCGGAUUCGGGGACCAUUUAAUGGACGGAUGAGAUGGAUGGGUCCCGAUACGUGGAUGGUGCGCUGUGUGGCUUUGUGAGGUAGAGGGAUUUAUUAAUUAAGGAAUUUAAGAUGGAAUUUAUUUCUCAAUUAAUAUUACGUAUGUUGAUAAUAAUAAUAAUAAUAAUAAUAAUAACAACAAUAGUAACGGGGUGUCAGUGUGGGCGCGUGUAUUUAUCGCAUAAAUGGGGUUUUGUCGUUUUGUCAACUCUUUGGGACGCUAAGGCCGACUCCUGCGUGCCUUCUGGCCCUACGGUUUGACAAAAAAAAAACUACAGUGCAUCAUGGUUGACACUCUCGGUCUUAUACAGUCAUGUGUACUGUAACUUUUUUUUUCUUAUAUAUUAUGUUUAUUUUCGUACGUAAUAUUGUGUUUCGUAUAUCGCGAUAAAUCGGUUAUAAUAUAUUUUUUACGGUCCCAUUAAAAGUAUGUAGAAACAUAUUUUUAUAUGCUUUUAUUCCAACUCUAUUUUAUCUAAUAACGCCAGAUAGACCUCAAUACCGAACUAAGCCUAAUAAAAUUGUCUCCUUAAAAUGAUGUCCCAUUAUAAUUAAUAAAAAAAAAUAUUAUAUUUUUCUUUCCAAUAAAAAAAUAUAAUUAGUUUUUUACCGGUGAUAUAUUUAAAUGUGAUACAGUAAAUUUUCUUCUACGAUUUCUCACCUCCAGGAACUGAAAGUUCUUAAGAUUCUUCAUUAAUAACUCUUAAUUUAUUAUUAUAUAAUAUUUGUUAUUUUUAUUUAAAAUUAUAAUAAUUAUUUUUUUAAAAAAAUUAAUGUUUUAAUUAAUAAAUUGUUGAAUUAAGUUAAAACAGAUAGGUGACAGUGACACAGUGUACCGAACGCUCCGCACUGAAGUUUUUGUCUCUGCGACGUGGCAGGUGCUUAUAGGCUGUUUCUUGUGCUCGUGGGGACCUCUUCUUUAAUGUAGGCCAGCUCAUCGCUCGGGCAUUAAUUAAUAAUGGAUAGGAAAUUUUGGGACAAAAAUUUUAUAGACAAAAUCUUCAAACUAAUUAGUCUCCAUAAUUUUGAAAUUAUGCCGAUCGGCGCCACAUGGCCGAUCCGACGGUCACAAAUCUUAGUUGUUUUUUUUUUUCUCUAAAAGCAUAAAUUUUUUUUUUAUCUUUCCAUCCGUGGCCGUCGGAUUGGUCACAUGGCACCGAUCCGAAUUGGGGACUAUGCCUAUAAAAUUUCGUCCGAAAUUUUGGAUGACCACGUAAAGUUCUUAAAAAUUUUUAUGCACAUGAUAAUUUUAUUACACAUUUGUUGUUGUAGGAUGAAUUUGAGCAAUUUAUCCUGAAGGGGUCAUACUCAUCCCACCAGAGAUGUGCUAUGUGAUCAUUUAUUACACAAUUUUUUUUUGGAAUUUAAAUUAUGGGUCUCUUACCCUGGACACAUUCACAAUAAUUUAUGUUGAGACUUUGUUUUGAAUUACAAAAAUAAAUUUGUAACGUAUGGUGAAUAAUAUAAAAAAAAAAUAAUACGUAAUAUUGCAUUACUCAUAUACUAGUUCUAUUAAUUAGAAAAUAUAAAAGCAUAUUUUUAUAUAUUUUUACUUUAUUUUAUCUAUCAGUAGUAUUCCAAAUAAUAAUCAACUUUUAUAAAUAUUGAUUGUUUAUGUGUUAGUAAUUCUAUAGGCUUAAUUAUAUUCUGAUGCACUAUAUUUUAUAGGUUUUUUUAAAAUUUUCUAUAUUGUGCUAUUUUUUUUUUCACACACACGACUCAACUAUCAUUUUUUUUCAAAUCCUAGACUAGAAAUAAUAAAUCUAUAAUUUUAAAUAAAAGUUAUUAAGAAAUACUAAUUGAAAGCGGUAAAGCAUAUAUUCAACUCAUUUUUAUAAAAAAAUAAAAUAUAUAAAACCAACAACAAAAAAAGUUAAAAAUAUCUUAAUAAAAAAAAAAUUAAUACACCUAUCAUAAAUAUUUAUUUUAUAUUUUUUUAUUAUUUAAUCAAUACUUUUUAAUAAAGUUGCUAACCCUAAUUUUUAUGGCAUCUUCUAAUCUUAGAUGUCAUCAAUCAAUCAAUCAUAAAUCCCCUAUACUAUACAAGCCAAUAGAUUGACGAAGACAUUAGAUCAAAUUUUUGUGCCCACUCUUCCUCUGUAUACUAUUCAUCGAGUACAUGGCAGUGUCCUUCGUUCUUUAUUACUGUUAAGUGAGAGAAGCAUCACAUUAAAUACACCAACAAUCCCUUGUGUGGGCAUAAUUUUAGAAUUUGCUUUAUACUACCAGCUGGAUAUAAUUAAGAGGGUAUAUAUAUAUAUAUAUAUAUAUAUAUUAUCACAUUAAAAACUAGUAUUUACAAUUGCCAAAACCAAAAAAUAAAAAAAAUCCAAAAAAAUGAUUAUAUACAAUGAAUAUACCCUUGUAUAAUCAAACUUUGCUUUGACAAUGUNUCUCUCUCUCUCUCUCUCUCUAUAUAUAUAUAUAUAUAUAUAUAUAUAUAUAGAACUAGACCGGAAUACUAUCAAUAGUACCAAGUUAUUGGUGCUAUUAAUUUUUUAGUCCUUGGAUUGAAAAAUAUGCAGUUACGAUAAUAUGGGCCCCUAGGAGGAGCGUGUAAUUCGCUAAAUUAGACCUAUGUUAAUUUUGAUAUAUUUGGAGCCAUUCUCUAAAAUACUAUAAAAUUACAAUAAAGCGGAUGCAUAUCCCUAUAAAGUAAAAUAGAAGUAGUAGAUGACUGAACAAUAAUAAUGCUCACUAUGUAUAUGCACUAACAAGAGCCUAUCUCCAUAGUGUAAGGCUGUAAAGCACGAUCCAUGCAGCCCAACCCCACAAUAUGCUCACCAACAUGAUUUGCAUGGCAUUUUGUUUUUAAUCAUUCCAACCUGUAAGUGGUUGCAUAAAGUCAAUAUGCAAAGGUAAACAGACGGGGACAUAGUCAUAAAAUGAAUGGAUGCUCCGCAUGCCAUCCCAAAAUUGCGACUUGAUUCCUGUAGUUUCACUCGUGCAUGUAAUAUUGAGUAAAGAGACUUAAGUGUUUAAAUGAAAUACAUGGAGACCAAGAUGCAGUAUAAGAUUAGCACAGGGGUACUACAAACACGCAUUUACCUUUAGAAAGUGAGGGCACAUGCGCAACUGUCAAUAGUGAAGAGAACAAGUUGCCAUUGAGAGACAAUGCAGCUAUCUAACAAUUCUCUUUUCUUAUGCAAACAAAGGAUGUAACUGCCAACUAAAAGUUCAUAACCAUAUUCAUCGAAGAAAGCUCAAAAGCGAGGCACAGUAGUCAAUUUUUGAUACAUUACUCAACUAGUGAAAGAAUAGGAUGAUGAUGUUUCUUAAUACUGAUACAGUAAGCUCCAUUAUUCAGUUUGCUCUUAACUAUGGAUGAUGAUUCUUUUGAUUUCUUUAAGGUAAGAUGCAACAUAUCGCCAAAAACAAAGCAAGAAUAUCAUCUCUGGACAGAGAAUUGGGUUGCAAGUAAAACUCCGCAUCAUGUAGCUCAAAUGGCUCUCUAUUCACAUAGUUUCAGCGACUAGAGGCCUGGCUCUGCUAACAGCCCAACUUCGGUCUAAGCUGACUACAAGGUAUAUACACAACAAACUGCAUGAAUUACAACACUGCUACUAAGCUGCAGAGCAAUUAGAGAAAGUUUGACCUUUGCGGAGUACAUCCCGAUGAUUGCCAUCAAGCUCGAAGACUCUGCAGAUGACUACCAGAUGCUUAGAAUUAAAAAUAUGAAAGAGAAAGUUUGACCUUUGAGGAGUACAUCCCAAUGAUUGCCAUCAAGCUCGAAGACUCUGCAGAUGAUUACCAGAUGCUUAGAAUUAAAAAUAUGAAACACCCAAGCUAGAGAAAUUCUAAUGUGCAGGAAAUAUCAUGAAAAAUGCACGCAAUAAUCAGUGUCAGAACACUGUGCUUCACAUACUCUUUCUUAUAAAGCAAUAAGUUACUGAAGGAGACCUUAUUAAAUCUCUCCAAGCAAUCUGCUACACACACACACACACAGACAUAACGAAAACCACCUGAGAAAAGUCAAUACUGCUUCAUAUGUGCGAACAGCUAGUGAAAAAGAGUUGUAAAAAGAACUUGAAAUUAUGUAGGAACAUGGAGAUAAGUACUCGAUGAAGAAUAGAACACGUCUAACUGUGUAGAAAAAGAAUUUAACAAAAAUCUAAACAAAAUAAAAAAAAAUACAUUACACCAAAAAGGGCAAAAAUAAUCAGCUAAAAGUGAGCCUAAAGGCUUGGAGAAGAGUUUUACCAGAUCAGCUGCAUUUCUAUUUUUCAGCGUCAACAUUGCUGCCUCUGCAAAGGCUUUUGCUGCUUCUGCAUCAGCUUCUGCAGCCUCCGCUUCUCUCGCUGCUUCCUCAGCAUCAGCCAUGAUAGCUUCUGCCUCUGCAACAGCUCGAGCAGCGGCAGCAGCAGCCUCCUGCGCAGUCAUGCUUUUCAUUCUGGCUAAUUCUGCGUCGAUUUGAGAUUUCGUGAAAGGUUUAAUGUCGUGCUUCUCUGGUCUAGAAGGCUCUCUUUGCAAUCCUUCUAGAAGCAAUACUUUGGAGGCCUUUCCUUCUUGAAAAGAGGAACUUGGUGCAAUCCUAUACUUGCGCUUGACCUACAAAAGGCCAACACCACAUUAUGACAAGCAUUUCUAACUAGAGAAACGACCAUAUAAUGAUGAGGAACUGCUACGAAGAAAAUAAAGGGCAUUAGGCUGAUAACAAAACAGUUGGAUAGUCAAAAAAGGAUGGCAACUGAUUUUAUCUCACAAAUCAAGGACUGCAAUUAAUCUGUCUCACAAAAGCCUGAAGCAAAAUAAUUAAAUAGUGAACAAGGACUGCAAUUGAUUUGUCUCACAAAUCAACACCAAAUUAUACUUUAUUGAACUUCCAUACUGUUAAUAUCGUAUAAUCUAUUUGAGAUACAUUGAAAAAGGAAGUUAAUUAAUUUCCUCUCACAUGAUCAACUGGAUAUGCAAUGAAAGGUGAGAGCUCAACAAGCUUUGUUAGAACGUAGUGUUGCAUAUUCUACUGAGAAAAAAAAAAUCCAUUAACAAACAAAAGAUCAUCUAAAAUCGGUAAGUUACAGAUCACCAGCAUAACAAACUCAUUGUACCAACCACUAGAAUCUCAAUUUUAACAACAGUUGGUCUUAAGGAUCUAGAGCUCCAAAGAAAAUGAUUUUUGAUUUCCAUACAUUUCAAAUAGAUAAUCAUAUGUAAUAACAUAGAUACAAUAUGAAUAACAAAGCAUUAUAUCAAGCAGGAAGCAUCGAGGUCCACAUGCAUAUGCAUAAAUACAUAAAGCGUGUAUGUAUACAUAUGCAUAUGUAGACAAAACACACAGAGACACAUGCACACACACAAACAUGCAUAUGCCUAUUCACAAUCGCAUGAGAUAUUAAAAAGCAGGUUACCUUGAUCAAUUUUCCAGAAGAAGUCAAGGCUUUCAGUUUUGCAGACAGCAGACGCUUAAAAUCAGGAGGUGGCCAGUAUUGAUCCUGUCCAUAAAUCAAGAGAAAAAAAGUUAUGCCUGUAUCAAGUAUAGGAAAUCCAAUUACAACUGUCUCAGUGGAAGAAGGAUUAUCAGCAUUUAACAUGAUAGUGGAUGACUACCUUCUAUACUCGCAAUAAAAUUUAUUUUUGAUGGUUACAUGAAAAUAUAGAUAUUGAACCGUUAUUCCAUAUGUAACAUGCCUUAUUUGUACACAAGCAUAUUAUUGCAACAUAUAUACCAAAAUACCAUGAAAAUGAUGUAGAAAAGCACUCAGAUUGCUCAGAUGCAACCUUUUACUUUUCUUAUUAUGUUUCUUUUCUCUCCUUUUCUUUUCUCGCUGAAGAAAAAGAGAAAUCAUUUUCUGUACAAACAUGCAGCAUAAGGUAACAAUAUCCAUAUACUACUCAAAUUCAUCUAUCAAGCUUGCCCGAAGGUGAAAGAGAAGAAAAGUAAUAGGCCUGUAGGAAAACUGGACCCAAAAGGAAAGCUUCAUAAUUGAUGUUUCAUUUGACAAAACCUACUGAAAUUUUCCUUUUUUUUCUUGCUUGAGAAUUCACAGUAUACUCCACUGCAUGGGCUCAAGACUGGGUUAAGUUGAACAUGGAUAAUAAAAAAGUAUGCUAACCCUGAAAGAGAGACAAGAAGAAGCGCAAAAAAGAUACAGGAGAAAGUAUCCGUAUGUUAAGUUUAUGGCAUAAAAGCAGUUUUUCUUUUCUUUCGGUUGAGCGUCAAUGACUACAAAGUCUACUGCUUAACGCCUCAUGAGAUCAUAUAAUUAAGGAACUCGAGAAAACACAUAUAACAGGACAGAAACUCCUGAUUCACAAAUCACUACAAAGAGAAAGAAAGUAAAAUGAUGUUCUAACUUUGAUGGUACAUAUUCUUGGAAGAAAAUAAAAGAAAGGACCUAAAUAACAGAUGGAAAUACACCUCUAUAUACGCCGCAAUGGCUGUCUUGUUGGACCCAGUUGGCUCCUUCAAGGUUGUUAUAGCCUCAAAUAUAAGAUUGUCAAGUCUGCAUGAAUUAAAAAAAACUUCCCAUGAAUUCACAUACACAGACGAUCAGACAAAUGUAAACACACAAAAUAGCAAUCCUGAACCAUAACUCACCCAUUUUACGUGUUUAGCAAUCUAAUUAGAGCAACUAUGGCUUACCCAUUUAACAGUAGAGUGGCACCAAAUAGAGGCAAAAAGUAAAACAGAUCACUACCACGAUCUCAUUACAAAGCCCUAAAGUACAGAUGAUGCACCAACCUAUACAUAUGACAGCAUGAGAGCAACAAGUAAGCUAACCUUGAGACAGAUCUCUUUGGACUAGCACUUGAUAGAGGUCCGCUAGACAUUGCCAGAGGCUUAGCAUCAACAAUUUCUUCAUCUCCGUCAGCGAGCACUGUGCUGAGCGCCAUUGGGUUAUCAUCAUGCUUAUAAAGAUGUCGGCUCUUUUUUAAAGCUAUUCUGCCCUUCUCUCGAGACCCAAAUCCAUUUGCCGUCACAUUCAUGUUACGCCACUUGUCCUAUACAUUUCAAAGAUGAUAGACAGUGAGUAAUGUUAAAUUAGCACGUAUUAUUUGCAAAAAAGCGAACUUGCUCGAUGAACCAAGGCGAAAGCGAUUCACCUUGAGAUCAACAUUAGAUCGCAAACAUAGGAUGCUACUAAACUCAGGAUCCUUCAAUAUAGUGCGCCAUUUGCCGGCGCCAUGCUUCGCAAUUCCGGCUUUAAGAGCCGCCUCUUCCUCUGACGUCCAUUUCUGCUUUGGAGCGCCCAUGAAACAGAGGCUCGAAACCCCUCAACACAAAUCUGAUGGCAAAAUAUACCUCUCACCCUGCACUCUCAUAGCAAGUAGAAGGUAUUAUUAACGCACAGGAAAUCAACGUAUACUAACCUAGGAGUUGCAUAAUGGAAAGAACACAUACAGAGUUACACACUUAAUUAUAUAAAAAGAAAAAAUAAAACAGUUUGAAGAUCAAACCGUUUGAAUUCGGAUACCACGAGAAGAUAAAACAUUAAGCAAAGUAAAAAAAAAAAAAACAGCUUUUGAUGAAUCGAAUCAGCUUAGAACCGGAAUUUCCAAUUCUUCGAAUAACUACUAAAUCCUAUAAAAUUUUACUAACGAGGCAAUAAAUCAAACCCUAAAUCAUUUUGCACUAACACAAGAUUCAUUUAAAAAACAACAACAACAACAACAACAACAAUGAUAGCAAACCAUCUGAAGAAAGAGGAGUAUGCUCAGUCAUCCUCAGACCCUAAUUUAUCAAAUUCGUAAACAAACAGAAAAACAUCUGAACGUAAAAUAAAUAAAUAAAUAAAUAAAUAAAUAAAUGAGAAGGAAAAAAAUUGAACCUCGUGUGGUAAUCGCCAUUGAAGGAGCUUCAUAUAGGAAAACGCUUUUGAUCUAAUUUAAAGCCAUAGAAAUGAACGAGAGAGAGAGAGAAAGAGAGAGUUGAUUCACCGCCCCGUUCGUUUCCGGCUCCUCGCGUUGCGGCCGCAUGUGGGGAGGAGAACGCACCGUUCUCGGGUCGGGUGGGGUUCGUUUGCGGAACCGGAUCGCAUCAGUCUCGAACCCGGUAAGGUAACGGGCUUGACCGACACGCUUAAUGUUCGACUUAGAACUGGAUCCACAUUAGAUUGAAUCUUAAACUCCCCUUCACAUUUGGACAAGUUUUUGUAGGCCAUAAACUUAAAUUAAAUAAAAAAAUUAAUAAUUCUAAAAAUUUGAUGUGAUUCGAAUUUAAAAUUUUCUUCUUCGAUAAAUGAUAAAUAAUAAUAAAGGAAAUAAUUAAUAUACUUUAAAAUUUUAAGUUGAUAAAGAACGGUACUUUUAUAUAUUUAUGUUCAAAAUAUUGAACGAAUUUGUUGUUCAAUGGGAUUUUUCCAGGGUGAAUUCUACUACUAGGCCUCAGAACAUUUAAUCAUAUCUCAUUUUGGACUUGAGACGAUCUCCACUUCUACUAUGCAAAACUUCUAAUUAAGUUUCCUUUGGACUCAGGUUUUAUCAUACCUGCAACUUCUUAAACCAACAUUUGAUAAUUUGAAUUUUUAAAAUUUUGAUGUAUAAAUAUACAGAUCUACCAAAUGCAGUUUUAAAAGUUUCAGAGUGUAAAUUUUUAACUUAAAAGCUCCUAGUCCAAAAGUCCAUUGCAGGUGCAGUUUACACGAUUUUUAAUGCCAAUAUUGGCCAAAGUUCAUGCUCUAAUCUGAAACACAAAUGUCAUAUGAAGAACAUUGUGUAAGGUUAUCACAUUUAUUUACCAUCUCCAAAGUAAACUGAGCAGGGAAAUAGCAACUAAAAUCUGAAGUUCCACAUAAUAUUUUACACUCUUCAUUUUUAACUAAUUCCAUCUAUAUGACCGUUUUAUGAAGAUGUGUAACUCCUCAUGAAAUUCAAUCCAUAUAGACAAAAAUUUGCCACUCGAGCCUAAUUAACUUUCACCAAAAGUUGAACUGUAAUUUGGAUACGCAGCUCCAGUAAAUACAGAUUUAAAUCUACCAAAAAUUGCGCUUCAACAGAAACAUCAAUGGCCAAAUUUCAAGUACAAGAUGAUCAAACUGGCCCAUAUUUUCCACAGAGAAGUUCUUCGGAGCCAGCGCGACGCAGAAGAGGGCCUGAAUCAAUCAAAUAAGAUUUGUUCGUAAGAAUUCUAAAUAAUAACAGUUAAAGAAAACAUAACUCAGUUGCCUUAUAAUACUGAAGAACAAAAUGUUAGCUACAUGAAGGAAUGUUACUCACUCAGAGGUAAGAUACGAGCAGGAUCCGUAACCUGUCAAACCAUCAACUAUAAUUAAUCAACAUGUGAUUACAACAUAGAGCUGAUUCAAUUUUGGAUUCAGUGGAUCAGGUCAAAUUACGAAUGUGUCUAUCGAAAGCAUCUUACUUGGAUCUUUGCUAGUGAUGGCGGCGGUUCCGCCGAAGUUACAUGCAAUGUCAGAGUUUCCAUUCUGCUGGUAGUAGCUGUUGAAGGCGAAGGAGGCGUGAGAGAGGAGGGUGUCGGGCUGAAAGCAAGGCCCGCCGGGCUGCACCUGGGAGCAGUCGGUGGCCCCCGGACCGCAGGCCCAAUCGAGGGCGUUCUGGAGGUCGGCCUGGGACACUCCGGGCCGGGCUACGCACCACGUCGUGCCCUCUACAAAUGUGGUGUUGCCCUCCGGCGGCGAGAAGGUCGGGAUCGGCGUCAUGGAUUCGGCCUUCUGAUGUCUUGCUGCUCCAACUGCAUAGGCUGAGUUCAAAGUCAGAAUGUUAGUAUUGAGUCUCAGGUUCAACAAUGAUAGGAAUAACAUCUAAUCAUGUUACUGAAAAGCAGAGGGUGUAGGAUUGUCGGAUCAUCGGCGCAACUAUUAAUCUCAAAAGCUUGAGCCAUUAGAAAAAUAAAAUAAAUUCACUUAAAGCCUGCAGACAAAGCGUCCAUGGAUCUCGAUUGUGAUUUGGUCCAAACCAGCCUCACGUUACUUCGAACAUAACUUGGACCUACCAGUUUCACGCCAUUUUGAAUAUAACUUGACCCAACCUGGCCUCUUGCCAUAGGACAGGAUACUGAUCCCUUUAGCCAAAAAGGACGAGCUAACCUUGGUUCAGAAACAAGAUGAAAUUUUAUUUUUUAAAACUUAGUUAUUUGCGAAUUUGAUCACUAAUAGGAAAAACCUACAAAACUGACCUGAACUAUGCACAUUUUUUGGCGACUACCCAACCUUCAGAAGUUAUUGAUUUUGCUCUUUACCCUUUCAAUUCACGGCUGUCAAAAUCUUCAAUACAAAAACGACAACUGAUUCCAAGGAUUUGCUACUAUUGCCCAAAAUAUCAAAUUGAUCUAACCAGUUUAAUGGAGCUCUUUGGAGAUUUAAACUACUGUACAUUUAGAGAUUUUCAGUGUUUCUAUGUUUGAACCUGUUAAAUGCUGGAAACUGCUAUAUACAGGUUUCAAUUACAUCAUGUUUGCUGUAGAAACACAUACUAAGAUGUUUUUAUCAGAUCAUCCAUUUAAGAUAAACAUGUUACUUAUUAACAACCCCAUCUCCAAACAUUUAAACGACAGAGCAUAAUUAAGUUCCUUCUGAUUUAUUCAACUCGAUCGACAAAUUAAUACAUCAGAUUCUGCGGGGAGAGAAAGUAAAAUGCGCUCCAGAGAGUGUUCAAGUUAAGUGAGUUAUGUGCUAUUGGUAUUAUAAACUAUUUAUUUACCAAAAUAAAAACACAUAAAAAAUAGUAUCUCUACAAGUAAUCCCAGGAGUGGAAAACAAGUUGCUAUUUCAUUUCACUACUUUAUAACAGAUGAGUAUAAAGUAUAAACUUCUUUUAUGAUAUGGUAAAGCAGAGGAAGGAAAAAUAGAACAGAAAGAGUAUUAUUGUGAUCAUGAAAUCGAAAAAAGAAGAGUUACCCAUGUAGAAGAACUGCACCAGGAAAAGGCCAUGAAUGAUCAAUCUUUUUCUCUUCAUCAUGGUCUCUAAGACCCAAUUUCCCCUCCCUCUUCUCUCUCUAUGUAUGUUUGAGACAGAGAGGGUGUGUGUGUGUGUGUGUGUGUGUGUGUGUGUUGCAGAUGCAGAAGAAGAUACAGGCCAAGAGCAACAAACAAAACUUCAAUGAAAAGCAGCUGCAGAUGUUCAUAUGAAAGGCUGGAUUCUAUUACUGCAUUUACAGAAGAAGAAGAGUCAUAUAAGAGUCAUAUAAGCCUACAUUAAAUGCUCUGCACUCUGCAGAGAGAAGAGAGAGAGAAGAGAGAGAGAAAGAGAGAGGGAGAUGCAGAAUGAUGGUACAAAGGUUCGGCUGCAGAGUUCUGUAGCUGAUAAAACUUUCAGAGGAUUCGACCACUGGUUAAAAAGACGCUCUUCCUCAGUGUAACCGUGACACAGCCCUCUUUCCAUGCAAAUUUACUAAUAAGGGUAGCUCUAAAAUCAUGAAAAAUAAUUUAUGGUGAAAACAAAAUUCAGUGGAAAAUAAGUUUUAUAUUUAGUAGUGUUUUAGUUUGUAGGGAAAAAAAAAUAUCAAUAUUUUUUUGGUUAAAAAAAUAUUUUUUAGUUUUAUAAAUAAAAAUGAAUGAAAAAAUUUUACGUAGUUUGAGAGCUUUUGUUUUCCACCGAUAAAACAGCGAAAAACGGAAAUUUUAAUUUUUUUAAAAAAUUAUAAAAAUAAUUUUACAUUGAGUCAAAUAAGCGAAAAAAUAUUUUUCAUACUAAAAAUAAUUUUUCAGUUCGUUUUAUGCAGAAACAAAUGUCAUUGAGCCUUUGCAGGCCAUAGUUAUACGGUAUACGGUACUUGAGUUUAUGCUUUUUAUGUUCAGAAUAUCAUUUUAGUGGCUACUAAAGUAAAAGAUUUAAUUUUUGCUUUAAUUAGACGCUCUGUUCUAAUAAUUAUUGCGAAAAAAAAAAAAGAAGAACAAAAGUGAGGCCAAAGAAGCUCAAGGAAACCUUGUUGAGAAGAUCUUUUAUAAAUUCCAUCCCUAAUUCGUUGAUUUAGAAGUAUAAUAAUUAAUAAAUUAACCUCCUCUCCACAACGUAUAAUUUAUUAAUCAACCUCCUCUCUUCAACGUAUAAUUUAUUCAUUAACCUCUUCUCUACUUAACGUAUAUUGCAUGAACUAAUAAUACUUAUUUAGCGUUUCUAACAUUUACUAUUGAGAUAGUGAACACUUAUUGAGCAGUAAUAACUAAUAACUAAUUAAUAUGUGAUAAAGAGCCAAUUGUAUUCAAGCAAUCUCAAACCCAAAAGCAUGUUUUUCAUAUAAUACAAAAUAUUCACAAAUUUGCUCAUAAAAAGCACUGUUACUUCCUUAAAAAAGAAAAAAUCGAAAGCUUAAAAAGAUGCACUACCAUGUUGUUCAUUCAUGCAUACUUUAUAAAGAGAAGCUUCUAGUUGGCAGCUAUUAUUUUUAUAUAUGUAUUAUAGUAGAUCUCGAUUAACUUAGGAGAAAGUUUGCCUUGUAGACAAAGAAAGCUAUGAGAUUCUCUCACACAUCCUUUUUUUUUUUUUUCUUUUAUUUUUGUUGUAGUGAGUUACUAAAAGAUUGUUCUUUCAUGGUGUAGUAAAUGGAAGGAACAAACUAGUAAAGUUAUAGAGCCAUUCCUUGUGGAUUAAGAGAAGAACCCAAAAUGUACUUGGUACGAAAAGAAGAUGUGCGAAGCUACCGCAAAUGAUUUGUUUUUGCUGCUAGAGUACUGGUUACUGAUGAUUAGUUUCACCGCAAAGCCAAAUUAGAGUAAGGAUGUCUUAGUACGUAACUGCGUACGGUCGAAGGAUAAUUCAUAGCUUGUUUCGCUUUGUUUUUGAAUGUACAUUCGUGCUGAAUGUGCUAAAUCAAAAUGUUCAGUUGUUGCUUUCAUUUGUUACACAUAAAAUUUUGUUUCCUGCAGCAGGAGACCUUAAGCACAGUAGAUACAAUCAGAGCCAAACAAAAUGCUUGUAGAAGAUCAAUGUAUCUGUCGGUAGCUGCAGGUGCAGAUGCGAGAUGUUCUGAGUUUAAAAACACUAAAAUUUGGGCCACUGCAUUGCUUUGGGCUGCGUUCAAUUAAAAACAACCCACUUCGAGUUAUUUCCACUUAAUGGGCCGGACCCGAUCCGUUAUGGGCGUAAUUAAUUAUUGGGCCAAGUAAUUACGGGUUGGGCCUCCAUUCCACCCGCUCACGAGCAACGCACGUGCUCCGCAACGUUCCCGCUCCGCUCCACUUCCAGAUGCUUCUUCGCCGCCGCACAAACGGCGUAGCUCGUAUAUGAAUAUGUAUAUAAGCGUGCUUCUCCCCGAUUUAUCGUCCUCCAAAACCCUAAAACCCCCUCUCACUCAUCUCUCCGCUCCCGCGGCCCAUGCGCGAAGCCACCAAGCGCUUGGAUUCGUCGUCUUCGUCUCUGAUCGCCUUCGUCCCGCGCCAAGUCAUGUUGGACUCCCAUGGCGCCGCAGCUCACGCGGAGGGCGAGGAGAGGAGGAGAGAGAAGGAGAUGAAGAAGGAGAAGAAGAAGAAGAGCAAGAAGAGCGCGUCGGGGACUCUAGCCGAGUUUCGAGAAGGAUCGGAUGCCCUAACUCUGGAUCUCUCCAAUGGCGGAGCCGUGGCUCCGAAGGGGACGGGGCGAGGGGCUCUCCUCAGAUCGAUCGCCAUUUUUCUCGAGAGCAGCGGGUUCUCGAAGACGCUCGCCACGUUCAAAUCCGAAGCCAAGCUUGAGGUACUCUUUAAUGCAAGAAUUUUGUCCUGUUUCUCCAUUCGAAUAAUUGGUUCGAGCUUGUUAAUGUCAAACAGUAUUUGGAUUUACACAGAAAUCGCAGUGCAUACUGUAUGUUUGGCUGUUCAGAAAUGGAGAAUUCAGAGAAGUGUUGGAUAAUGUUCUAAGCUUUCAGCAUCAGUAAUUGCUGUAAUGGCACAUAAUUUGUGAUCAUGCUGAGGAUGUUUUUACCUGAUAUAUCUGUCAUAUUUGUACUUUCGAUACUCGCAGUAAAGAACAGAUGUCUCAAGUGGGUCGAGAUUGCUUGUGACUAAGUUUAAAGGUACUAAUAAAAGGUACCUAAAGAGCAAAGGAUAAAUACCUUAAUAGAUUGUAUUUAUGAUAUAUAUGGGACGAUAUAUUUAUGCAUCAAAUGUAUUUGUGCUGAUGCAUAUUUAUCAUCGAUUUUUUAAAAUCUCCUUAAUGGAGAUAAAGUUAUCUGAUAGAACCUUGUGUUGACGCGCAAGUAUUGUUAGAUUGUUCGCGCAUUUUCUUGAAAUCAAAGAGCUUGAGUUUGAGCUUCGGUGAUAAAAUUUUUAUUGUUCUGUUAGGAACACGGUCCGAGAUGACAAAGUAAGAACAAGUUUGUGCCUAUCAAAUGUAUGUAAGAACCUGUGGAUCAAGGCUACUUCACCUGAUUGAUAUAACCCUUUCAAUAGACACAGUAUUGAUGGAUAUUCUAUUGCUGUCUCAGACGCUCUUUUUUCCCCUUCCAUUUUCCUUGAUAAUAUGCUGGUUAUCUGUGCCUCUUCUGAUCUUUUCUUGGUGAUAAUAUUAUUUGCUGUUUUCCACCUAUAUUGCUCCGAGUAGAUGAAGUAUAGUGAUUAUGCUGCAGGUCGAUGAUUGGAGCUCAUCAAGUUUGAGCUUGGAAGAUAUAUUUUGCAAGUUCUUAGAUGCAAGGUAUUGUUCGAUAUAUGUCUCCCUAUUCAAUUGUCUGUGAUACUGAAUUGGAGCCUAUUCAGGCUCCGAUGUGAACUAUAGCAACCAUAUAUCAGAUAUGCAAGCCUCUAUCCUUGUAUCAUCCUAUAUAUACCAAAGUCAGAGAGACAAAUUGACUCUCCGAUACACAGUUACCCUUGGAUGGUGUUCCCAUGCACAAUGUGGUGAUUCCCAAUCCGAGGCUUUCCUUGAGUUGGAUUCUCUAUUCGGCUUUCCAACUUCAGGGAGGAAAAAGAAGGGGAAAUUUUACUUGUACACCCCAAAAGGGGGGUAGAUCUUACAUCCUUUAUCCUAAGGUUCACUAAAACCCAAACGGGUUAUAGAAAGAAAAAGGUCAUGUGAAAAAAAUAGGGGAAUGAUGGCUUAGAUGGAGGGAGUGUAAGAUGUACACCCCACUUUGGGGUGUACUAAUAGCAUUGCUAAAAAAAAAAAAAAAAGAAAAACCUUUUCUAACUUAACUUUCAUCCAAUCUCUUAGACAAUCUGCUUUCAUUUGGAAGUUUCAAGUCUUGUUGAUGGGCAGCUGCCAGUUAGAUUUGAGUAAAUAUCAUAGAAUUUGAGUUCUAACAAAUUUCAGAUUCCCUUUAUUAAAUUAUCUUGUGGAUCUUGCUACCACUCAGAUUUUAUGAUUUUGAUAUUGAAAAUUUCCAGUUAAUAAGUUUCCUUAGAGAAGUCAUUAAAUGUUAAAUAAAUGAACCUUUCAUUCCAGAUAUUUUUUGCCCAACAAAAUAAAGACAACCAAAACAGUUAGCUGUUGCUGGUUGGCAAUUUCUUAUUUUCAAUUUGUCCAUCUGAAGCUAGCUUUUCCUGCUUCAUUCAGUUGUUCUUUUGACUCUUUUGUAUGCUCUUACAUAUUGUGAACUGUGUUUAGCAAAGAGUUCCGGAAAAUUCAAACUUUACUUUCCUGCUUUAUUUGCUAUAAUCCACGUUUUCUGGGAGUUAAGAGGAAAUUACGGUUAACAAAGAUUUUUUUAAGAAAAAAACCUUAAUAUGAGAUACUUUUAUGAUAAAGUUUUAUCACAACAAGCUCUUUAUUGUUCAGCAUCGCGAAUCAUUUACUGACCUCAUGGCUUGAGAUGUUCACUUAUUGGAGCCUGUACUUGUAGUUUUCUUCAUCAUACCAUACUGAUUCAGCAAAGUUUCACUUGCACUCUGCAUAUUUCUUUUUCCUAACUUUUUUUUUUUUAACUGUAUGCAGCAAUGGUCUUGCAGAAGCUAGUAUCAGUUGGCAAAGGGAACAAGGUACAAUGUCAAGCCUCUCUAUUCUUCCUGACCAUUUUGUGCUUUGUUUGCUUGUAUUUUCUAUAGGCACCAUCACCCCGCCACCCUCAUUUUCUCUCUCCUUUUAGCUGUAAGCCUAAUUCCAGUUGCACAAUGCUUGCAGCUCCAGAAAAAGAAGGCAUUUUACAAGAAGCUGAAGGGAAGAAUACUGAUGGGGCCUCCGAACACUCUCAGAAGAAAAAGAGAAAGAGAGGUAGUGAAACUGAUGGAACAAAAAUUGAGACAAGUAAAACCAGGGCAGAAAACGUUGGUGGUGUGGAUGCUUUAGACAAACCGUUGGAUAAAUUAAAAGUCAAAUCUAAGGAGACUAAGUCAGGAGUUUCUGGAGAGGAAGAACUGAAAAAAUCCAAAGAUUUCGGUGAUGAAACUGAUUUCAUGGAGUUCAAAUCAGUUGAAGAAUCACAUAGUGAAAUCAAAGAGAAGAAAAGGAAAAAAAAAUUAGCUUCUAGCUUGUCUGGAGAAGAAAAGGAAAAUAGUGAGGAGGCAGUUGCUUUUAAAGGAGCAACAAAGGCUGAUGAAGAAAAGCUAUUGCCAAAGCUCAAUGAAAAUGGGAAAAAGAAGAAAGAGAAGAAAAAGAGAAUGGUUGAUAAUUCUUCUAAUGAGAUCAGCAAACCUGACGAGGACGAGAAACUUAAAGAGGCUGUUAAAGAUGAAGUAGUAGUGUUGAAGUCACUAGUAAGCGAGUCUUCUGACACAAAAACAACACAUAAAGAUGAUAAAAAGAACAAAAAGAAGGUGAUUGGGAAUAUUGAAGAACUAGAAAUAUGUGAGGAUGGAACUAAGAAAACCUUAACAGAGCUAAAAUCCAAUGAGAAUUUAUUGGAUGAUGAUUCUCAGGUUCGGGAGAAGAAGAAAAAGAAAGGUAAAUCGACUUCUGAGGAUCAAAGUGCAAAAGUCUCAGAUUUGAAAGAUGCAGGAGUUUGUCUUACUGAUGAAGGUGGAAGAAAAACUGACACUGCCAAUGGAAAAGUUCCUGUUACUGAAAGUAAUGAUGAGAAUAUUGAAAAUAAAAUUUCCAAGAAGAGAAAAAGAGUUGCUUCAAAAGAAAAUGGCUCCAAAACUGACAUUGAAGUUCCAGUAAAGGAUGAAAAUAUUAGAUCUGAUGGUGCUGAAAAAAACAAAUCUAGAUAUGAUGAUGAAGAUAAUGUUCUUGCCAAAAAGCAGAAAACUGAAGAAAGCAACAGAACUUUUGUUGAAGACAAAACAGCAGGAAAUAAGCUGGUGAAUGGACAACUUGAAAACAAGAAGAAUGAAGAAAGUGCUUCAUCAAAAGCAAGAAAAAAGGAAAAUGCAUCAUCAGAGGUAUAUACAUCUUUUCCUCUCUUACUUAUUUCUUGAUGUUAUUUUCCUCGUCGUGUGGAAAGUACAACUCUCACUAAACUAGGACCCCAAUAUUCAUCUUUUUAUUAUUUUUUACCAUUAUUGUGUCUUCCAUGCUUGCGUAGAAAUGGCAUUGCGUCUUGUGCAUGAUCUUGACCAACAUCACAUUAAAUAAAGUUUGAGUUAAUGUAUCUCUAAUCAUGUGAAGUGCUUAUGGGCAGAAUUUUUCUUGUUAUGUGUGUGACUAUAACAUCUAUCAUAUUGAAGUUAACUAUUAAGCUUUUGAUAUCUGUAAGUGUAGAAACUUCUUUCGUUGACUAGAUUGUGUUUAUUUUUUCGUUUGAUAUCUCGAACUUUUGUACCGUUGUUUGUGCAGCCAAAAUCAGCUAAUGCAUUUAGAAGGGUAAAGGCGGAUGAGGUUAAAUUUGCUGAUAAGAAACUUCAAGACAAUUCCUAUUGGGCUAAGGCACUUCCUUUAUUAUCUUUUUUUUACGAAAAAACAUUUUUAUUACUUAGGUUGUAACUGAUCUGAUUAUCAAAUCUUUAGUGUUAACAAGAACCCUGCUUGUUUUCUCCUCUUUUUGGCUACCUCUCAGGAUGGUGCAGAAAUAGGAUAUGGUGCAAAAGCACAAGAAAUUCUUGGUCAAGUCAGAGGAAGGUAAGACAUUAAUGUUCUUAAAUCCAUAUAGGAAAAUAAACACCUAAGAUUAUUAGUUUGUAGCAUUGGCCAAUUCUUGAUAUUUUAGGCUUAAUUAUUUUGUAGAGUGAUUAGUGACAAGUAAGAUUUUCUAAGUUUACAUAAUACUUGUUUAAAGUCUGUUUGAUCCUGAAAAGAAGUCAAGUUCAUAAGAUUUCUUAGUUGAUUUAGGUUUGAACUCGUUCACAGUCAACCAUGUAGAGUUGUAUACCGACCACCACCAUGUAGAGUUGUCCCUCAACUUCUAGUCAAGCUUCACUUUCAUACUCAAAAUGCUAAAUCGGGUAUUUGACGCCCAAAACUUGUGAAAUGCUCUAGUGCUUGCCAUCACCUACUACUGGAUGAAAAAUCAUUGCUUAUAUCUGACACAUCCAUAGAUCCGUGCACCAUGAGGCCUCUGUCUUAUCAUACAUCUUGCUCAUUCAAUCUGACUAUCUAAAUUUCUAAGAUAGAGAAGGUUGCAACUCACUUGGUGGUGGGAAUUGAAAUAUUGGACCCCAUAGAGGGCUGAGAUGAAUAUAUGUUUCAUGGAUGUACAGAUGCAUCAAGGUGCAGGCAGAAAAAAAUUUCUUUUAACGACAAGAAUUAAAGGGGGACACUUUUGAAAGUUCGGGGCAUCGAAUGUCUAACUUAAAAAGUUUGAAUUCCGUAAGGAAACUUGACUAAAAGUUUGGGAGUGUAGUGCAAUUUAUCACUAAGCUUAGAUGUUAUUUAUUACACAUCAGGAUAAUAAUGUUUACUAGAGGAUUGAUGUUACUUCAUUUUUUUAUAAAAAAAAAACCCAAAAUUGCAGGGACUUCAGACAUGAGAAGACUAAGAAGAAGCGUGGAACUUACAGGGGUGGGCAGAUUGAUUUACAAUCUCACUCGGUGAAAUUCACCUAUGACGACGACGAGUGAUAGGCUAAUCCUCAGGAAAACCAACUCCCUUCUCCAUCUUGUUUUCUCCAUCAUUUCUCUUGUUGUGAUUUAUUCAGAAAUCCUGAGUGUUGUUGAGCAUUUCGAAGAGUAAACAUUCGAGGACAUGGCCAUUCCGAAUCUGGUCAGCCAUUCCUCCCACUAGGCAGCCCCGUACUGUAUCUAAUUCAAUUUUGCAUCUUGAUUAAUUAUCAAUUGCUAAAGCUGUUCUUAAAUUACAAACUAUAGCUUUGUUGUGUUUAUUCCUGGUUAUAUUAUUAUCAUUUUUAUUACUAUUAUAAUUAUUUGAGAGUCCCAAAUGCAUGGUUUUAUCUGCACUACUAUUGUCGAAAAGAUUUGGUAAAGAUUUCGAUAUUGCAAUUCUAAUUAGCUCCCCUCUUUGAUCUUGUGUGUGCACCAGCAGGUCUGUGUUGGCUGGAAGUAUAAAUUGUUAAGCCACGAAGGCUCUGGCUGGGAUUUUGGGGAGUAUGUGCUGCAUGUGCAUGUGUGUUGCGAAAAUGUCUAUGUAUUCUGCAUGGUUUUAUAGAAAAUAAUGUGCUGAGAUUUAGAUCCUAUUGGAAUAUAUAUAUAUAUAUAUAUAUAUAUAUUGGUAGUAUUAUGCAGCACUGGAUAUCAGAUUGGCUAAAAGAGACAUACGGUGGCUGCAUCUGUGAUCGUCUAGCAAUACAGGAAUGCUGUGCAGGAAAAGACCAUGCAAAUAAAUGAAUACUCGGAAAGACCAUUCUAAUAAAUAAAUGAACACAAUGUUGCGUUACCUGUAACAACCUACUUUGCUUCUCGCUCACAACUCAGUACAUUGACCUACAACGUUAUUGCAGAUUUAAAGUACCUGUGUCGUCGUUUUAAAGUCUUAAAUUCUUGCACUUUUGUUUCCGAGCUAAGUUCCACGCGGUGCUCGGAUAAUGCUUCCACCGGGAAGUUUGUGCAUUUGAAAGAGCGCCUCUUUAGAUUUCCUUAACUCCUGUAAUGAUGUGUUGGUUGUAGAAAUUAAGUGUUGGACAUUUCAAUAAUCCACUAUUGUCUCCAUUUGAAAACAUCUAGCGAACUUUUUAACUUUUCAACAUUUAUAUCAUCAGCAUCGUACAGAAGAGCACAGUGGUUGGAUCCUUAUCUUCAAUAGCAAUAGCAAGUGAACAGACCUUCUAUUAGCCUUCAUUGGAUGGACAAAACCUUACACAAUGAUAACAUAUUUUGAACCCUUGUGGAAAGAGAGAGCAGAGUCAAAUACCACACUCGCUUCCCCAUUUCCAAAACGCAAACAUAUGCUCUCCAAAUUAAUCCCAUUUGCGUCCAAUGUGUCGGGGACAUUAGAAGAUAAUGAUAAUAUUCUUUUAGCUUAAAACCCUUAUAUCACUCACAACAUCUUGGGGCAUUGCAAGGAAAGAAAUAAUUGUGUUAUAUUUUAGGGGGGGUUCUAAUUAUUUUUGUCUCUGCGCCCUCGGUGGGGUUUUAGAAGCAUCUGUUGCUCUUCUUUUUAAAUUGCUUUAUUAGGGUAGUGUGGGGGAAGUGAUGAGAGAAAAGAGGCUUGUUUGCACGGGUGGGUUGGGCUUGUACAACUUCGAAAAGCACUGACGCUUCCUUCGUGGGUCUUCGUGUUUGACUCACCCAAGAGAAAUAAAUUUCAUAUUAUUAUGCAACAAUAUUUUAAUUGCGUGUAACAAACUAACAUCACUGUUUAAAACUCAUCUUGAUAUGUAAAAUUGAAUUUUAUAAGGUUCAAGAGUGUGGUGUGUAUAGCUAAAGAUAUCGGCUUGUGAUGAGCGUAGAGACGCUAACAAAGCUUUGAGCUUCCAGAUCUGACACGUACCCUCAAACAAAGCAAAAGAUUGGGAAAAAGAAAAUGUCGCGUGUACUCGAAAUACUCGUAAUAAUGAAUUGAAAACAUGGCAAACCAAACAUUUUCUUUCUCACAGAAAUUACAAAAAAGAAAUGAUUUAAACUUCAAAAAGGAAACAUCACGGACCCCUUUAAUUAAUUUCGCGCCCUUCUUCAUUGUCACCACACUACAAAAACCUCUGUAGCUGAGCUCUCCUGCUCUAUUCUUAUCAUACAAACCCCUUGCUCUCUCUCUCUCUCUCUCUCUCUCUCUCUCAAUGGAAUAUGAAAGAAUCCACAAAGUUCAGGUUUGUUCUACUAGUCCAUUAAUUAACUCCAUAUUAUUCUUAGGAAUAUAAUUUGGCUGAUCUUUCUGAUGCAUGUUAAUUUUUAUGAUUCAAACUAUGUUUUUUCAAAAGCUUAAGCGGCUAAAAAAUAGUAAAAUGCUAGAAAAUGGAAUAAAGCGAGGAGUGUGAUACUAUGCAUAUUAAAUUAUAUGAAUAAACUAUUUUUCUUUUCCGAAAGUUUUAGUUACCGAGUAACAGUAUUUUCAAUAUUUAUAUUCAACAUCUCAGAUUCUUUUAAUUUUCACUUGCUAGUAAUUAGUAGCUUUUGCUGUUAAUCUCUACUAAAGUUUACACCAAAAUGGUUCAGCAACAUUUGAUGAACUAUUAUUGUUGUAGGUAGGAGCAAUAUCCCCUGGUAAACUCAGUAUGAGACUAUUUGGAUCUCACCAUAUCAGAAAACAAGAAUCAGCAAACAAUUCAUCCAGAGCAUCCCCUUCGAAGCUCGACGACACCGAGUGCUCUAGGAAAAGCUUAUUAGCCGAAGAUCCUGAUGAAACAUGUAUAUAUACUAUCACCUAAAUGAAAUUAUUUCUUUGGUUUCAGUUUGUUACCUUCUUUUUUCCAAAAUUCUUUGUUCCAGAUAAACUGAAAGACAAUGGAAAUGCUUCCCCCUUGAUUGCUGUUGAAAAUUCAGAAGCCUCUUCAGAAGCAUUAAGCGGCGUAAGCACCGUAGAGUUUGCGAGAAGUUCGGAAGAAGAUGGCAAUAUGAAUGACAAUAGAAACAGUUAUAAUUUUGAGUUCCAAAGAGAAAAGAGAGGAAUACAACACUCAGUUGUUGGUUCGUUCAUUAGGCAGGUUCCGUCGAAGUGGAAUGAUGCGGAAAAAUGGAUAGUAAAUCGGCAUAUAAUUUAUUCGAAUCCUAAUGUUUCGAAAAGGACUGCUUCAGAAAGCCGAGGGACUUGUCAAGUAACUUCUAAUUUGGUGAGGGUAGCUCCGGAAUUCGCAAGUGCGGAGCGAAAGAAUCACCGAGUUCAAAAAACAGGUAUUGAAAGUAGCAGUUCCACUAAUCCUACUAGUGAGUUUGAGCUUAUGUUGUUAAAUUUAUACAAUGUCUUUUGCUUAUGUUUGCCUUUUAACAUAUGCGAAAACCAUGCAAAAACUCUGAUCAAUCUUUCUAAAGAAACUAUGCCAAAUUAUUGGCUCCUUUCGCAGACCAUGAAAUGCUUCUAUUUUCCUCUUGAUUCUAUCUUCUAGUUGUAAUAUUUUCAGUAAAAUUAUGCAGUUACUUCCGCCGAACAAUCAGUUUCUACAAGAGAUAUCGGAACAGCGAUGACUCCCACUGCAAGUCAGGAUCCAUCGAGGACUAAUACUCCGAUUCGGGCCACAACACCCGCCUUCAGCCCGCCAUCUUCGCUGCCGUCAACUCCUAAAAGAGCAAGAAGGAUUUCAACUCCUUCGGAGGAGAAUGUACAUAAUCAAAAGAAAGUUUGCACGGCAGAUUCUUCUGAGAGGGAAUUGCAGCUGAAAAUAAGAAGAGAAAUCGCCGCUCUCGGCCUUCAGCUGGGCAAGAUGAACAUUGCUUCCUGGGCUACUAAAGAUGAGUUGAUGCAGGCCUCUCCAUCUAUUGCUUCUACGAACGCGGACUGUGUUGCAAAAAUGGAGUUUGAAACCCGUGCAGUGGCGUGGCAGGAAUCUCAAAAAUCAAAAUAUACUGCGAAGUACGUAGAUAGUGAAAUUUUCAUUACUCUAACAACAAACCAAUGACCUACUAUAAUUGAUUUCUUUAAUUAUUUGAUAUGCCAUCAUGCAGUUCUUUAAUCUUCUAUGUUUGUACAUUUGCUUAAUAUAGGAGUCCACUGGGGCACUGAGCAUUCCCAACAUAAAAACUACAAGGAUGUAGCUAUAUUCUCAGCAAAUAUUAGCGCGUAGAUAACUUAAUUUUACUUGCUUUUUGUCUCAUGAUCUGACACUCAUUGCUUAACAGCAGUAACAAUUUUAAUCUGUGUUUAAUUACAAUUUUCGAGCUCAUCUACAUGUUCUGUGUUUUUUUAUCUACUCAUCCUUUAGACAUAAGCAUGAUGAGAUCAAGAUUCAAGCAUGGGAGAGUCAUCAGAGAGCAAAAUUUGAAGCCAAAAUGAGGAAAGUUGAGGUAGCCCCCUCGUCGAUUUUCAGUUCUAAGUGCUUACUCUUUUGCUAGAGAAUAAAAGUUUAUGUAAUAUUUAAGUCUCUUAAAGCCUUACACAUUCUUAACUUACGAAAAGCUCAACAAGAAGUAAUCUGAGAUACUUAAUACAUUCGCAUUUGUUUCAUUAUCUCAUAUUAGAUGUCGAAUAUGAACGUUAAGUGUUGUGAACAACUCGCAGGCUCGAGCCGAACAGAUGAAAGCCCGUGCGCAGCAGAGGAUGGUCGAAAAGCUCACGAAAACACGGCUUAAGGUGGAUGCGAAGAAAGCCACUCUAGACGCCAGAAGAGAUCGACAAGUUGUAAGGUUAGCGCGACAAGUAGAGAAGAUCCGUCAAACUGGUCAUGUACCGUCAUCGCUACUAAGACCGUUCCUCGGUUGUUUCCUAUCAGAUAGAUCUUUCUUGUAACAAUGGUACUAAAUCCGAUUAUAAUACUCUUAAUUUCGCGAGGUUACAAGUUCAAUUCUUGACAAUAGUAUUAAGGAACUACGUCGUUAAUCUUGUUUGUACACACAAUAUGGUUUAUCUGAUCUCCACUAUGAACGUCAAAUGGAGUGUUGAGAAUAUUCCUAGACGAUUUUGCGAACUUUUUGGCAAUAGUCACAUGUUUGAUGGUGUUGUUGGUUUCUUCAAUUCAAUCCAUUUUCUCCUUUUACUUUUUGCGUUGUUUGUGCUUGGAAUUAUCAGUCGAAAAUCUAAACAUUAAAUUGUGAAGAGUUUAGAACGGAUAGCAUUUUCCUUCUCGUAAAUCUAAACGUUGUUUAUGCAUAGAUGCACGGAUAGCAUUUUCCUUCUCGUAAGGAGAAGCAUAAUUUUAAAUGAUAUAUGGGAACCAAUUAUAAUAUUUUAAACGUCGAGGACUAAACUGAAAGAGGAGCGCUUCCCAGAGAAAAAGAAACUAUUACUUGGACCUGGUCUAGGAACAUCAUCUCUAGACCACGGGUAACGCUCUUUCGAUCUCCAUCGUCCAGUAAAUUUAAAUAAAUCUCUUUUCAAUUUCAGAAUUUUCGAACAACCGUGAAAAUGGGAAAAAAAAAAAAGAAGAAAAAGUAAAGCGGUUCACGUGUGACGGUGUGGACCAAGUCCAGGUAAUUGUUUAUCAACCGAGCCGCAACUGGGCUCGAGUAAUCUCAUCACGGCCCACAAUAUCAGAAAGUGUGGGCCCAAGUGGGCCGAUACCAUAGAAGCCCUUUUAUCGGCCCAAUUUCGAAAACCCCUCAUUGCUAUCUUUUUUUUUUUUUUUCUCAGUUGCUCGAUCAUGUAGAGCUUAGCUCUGGAUAGCGUUCGAGAAGUAGCUCUUAAACCCUAACCCUAGAAGAGGCAACGAUCCACGUAUGGAUUCAAAUUAGGUUUUGAGAAGAGAAUUUCUGGGGAAGAGGAAAUGGGUUCUUGCUCCAACACUUGGAUUUUUGGAGGUGAAAUUUUAUGCAUAAUUAUUCAAUUUUUACUGAAUUUUUCACCCUUUUUUUUGUUGUUGGUGGUUUAAAUUGGCUGCGUUUUCCCUUUCUUUCACAGAUGGAUCGGCAUGUGCAAAAUCUCCUCGUCAAACGUUUCGGGUAUGUAAAUUUUCAAAUUUCUUGUAGUAUCUCAAUCUACAUGCGCAUCAAUUAACACUGAUGACGAGCAAUUUGAAAUAUACAGACACCAUUUGUAGGGGUAUUUAAUUUAAACAAGCUGAAAUUUCCUGUAAAACUGAGCCAAAAUUAUAGAAAACGAGAUCAGCAAUUUCCGUGUGUAAAAUGCGCCAAGAAGAAGGAUGGGCGGUUCGAUCCGUCGUCCGUCGAGCCGCCACCGUAUUACAGUUACAUGGACUCCACUUCCGGGCAGCUGGAGCCGGCAUCCGGCGCCCGGGCAAGCAUUCCGGGCAGGGAAUACUGGCCCGAAGGCACCGCCGCCCGUGUCCGGGCAGCUCGGGCACCUGAACCCCUCGGUAAAUCUCAAGGCAGGCCUUCUUAUGGCAAGAACCCCGGAAGCCGGCGGAAGAAGUAUAAAGGACAGGUGGCGGCCUCGGAAACUGCAGAAACUAGCGUGGUUGUUAAUGAGCCGCCGCCCGCGGUUGAGAACGAGAGCUCGAAUGAUGCUCCCGAUCAGACGAAGGACCCGUUGGAUGAGUAUGUUGUUUAUCGGACGGAGCCGGAGGAAGAGAAUUUAAGUCAGUAUGAGUUGGAUAAGAGAAUCGGGCGGCCGCAUCCCUUUAUCGAUCCGGCCAAGGAUAAGCCUGUGGAAGAGCCUCGGUCUAGCGAAGAUCUGUGGUGGAAUUGGCGGAAGCCCGAGAAGGAGCAGUGGUCGAGGUGGCAAAGAAGGCGCCCGGAUGUCAACACGGUUAGUUCGGAACGCUCGAUGCUUGCUUUAGAUAAUGAGCCUCUGUUCUUGAUGUAUAUCAGGGGUACAAUAGCAAAAGCAACAGGCAUUUUGUUAGCCAAAAAUGCCUAGUUUCUGAAAGCUUUUGCUUUCUAGAGUAGAGAAGUCGUUCCAGAAGUGCUGUGUGCGUGAACGCGCGGCUUGUUCAAAUUUUAACUCAAGCCAUGUAGUAUGCUAUAUCUAAUAAUAUUUGGAAAGUUGUGCGUGUAGGUGUUUGCAAAAGCAAUGGCGGAAACUGGCCAGAUAAAGCUUUUCGGAGACCACCCAACACAGACAGAAACUGCCCUCGCAAGGGCCAGAAGACAUCUGUACAAAGAAGAGCGGUAGACAUUAGCAGCCUCCUGAACUUUCUCGUAUCCAUUCAUUUUACAUUCGUGACUGUUGCUUAUAGGAUUAGCAAGUACACUACUUUGACACAGUGACUCCUCAUAGUGGAACGGUCGGUUGCUAUUUCUUUGGUUAUAGGCAAUAUAUUCCUAUAACAAUUGUUUUCUUUUCUAAUUUGACAGCGUAAAUUGAAACAAAUAUGUUGUUACCUACAAUCAAAUGGGUAUACUUCCAAUAUCUAAUAGAUAAUUGUUCAUGAGUGUUUGGAGAUCAAUCCUUGAUGUGAUUCAAAAUUCUAUUUUUAUUUGGAACUUCUGUUACAUGAUAACUGAGAGCUAUUCUUAUGGUUGAUACCACAAAUGGAGGGUACAAGCAGAACAAAGGAGAUUAGAAGAGAUUGGCCCGAUUGCGUACUAUUCGGAAUGGGUCAAAGCUUGGAACAGAGAUACUUCACGUGAGGCUGUGCAAAAGCAUUUUGAGGAAACUGGAGAAGAUGAGAACACUCAACUGAUUACAAUGUUUCAGCACCAAACAGCUGAAGAAUACCGCAUCAUGAUGGGCACCGAUAUUCGCAUACCGCGGGAUCCUUUAGCGAUGCGAAUGCGAGAAGAUCAAAUCAAAGAAAGUAUGAUAUUUCCCACUUACAGAUCUCUUACAAUUCCAUUUUCAUUUCUUUUGCUCCUUUGUUUUUCUGUGUGUGAUGUGUGUUUGUGUGUGUAUGUGUGUAUUGGGUUUUGCAUAGUGAACCUCGGUUUUGAUUCUUUUGUUAUCUUGUUACAGUAUGGGGUGGUGAUCCUGUUUAUCCAACUGUAAAUUAUAUUCAAGAUCCCGAUGAAGUAAUUGACUACAGAGGUCCAGAUUUUCAUGAGCCUACUCCUAACAUGUUGGCCUAUCUCAUGGAGGUAAAACAGGAUGCCAUUUUUCACUUUUCCAAGUAGAUGCAUAAAUAUAUUUAUUAUAAAGGUUGGGUAAAUAUGUACCUACUGUUUUGCCUGCUUUGCUGUCCUUUCUUACAUUAAAUGCGCAUAGCAAUUUCAUUUUUUUCUUCUCAGUUUCUAUAUCUCUUCACAGUGUCAAAAUGAAUUUAUUUAACUCUUUGGCUUUGAGCUUUAUAUGCCUCAAAAUCCUUGUAUUUACUGAGUUUCUGUUAUCUCAGCAAGGGAAGAUUAUAUCAAGGGAGGAGCUUGACAAAAUAUUGUCAAAAGAGAAGACUCAAGAACUUGAGGUAAAUCUUUUGGUUCUUAACUAGAGCUGAAGUUGCUCAAAAUUUUUGUGAAGAAUGCUUCAGCACAUAAUUAGCUUGAAUAAAAGAAAGAAAUUUCUCUUUUCACUCUUUUGGUUAAUUAACUUGUGGAUCUUGCUGCUGUAUCAACCAAUGCAGAUAACUGAUAUUGACGAAGCUAUGGCUACUGCAGUUGACAUCGGGGAGAAUGAUGUAUGUGAAUCCUGCAGUCUUGUCCCUUUUGUUUGCAACUGAUAUUAGUGUAUCUACAAGAUAAACUUGUUAACAUGUUUCUUUUGUGGCUUAUAGGAUGAAGAAGAUAGUGAGGAAGAGGAAGUUGAAGAAGAGAAAAUAAAUCGGAAUUGGAGUGUUCUGAAAACUACGCCACAGCUUCGCAAAUCAAAGGUAUAUUUUUUCAUAAUAGGGACCUGAGUCAAUAUUUUAUGUGAGGAAAGAGAACAUUUGCUAAUACAUAAUAAAAAGAAGAAGAGUUAUCAAAUUAAUUGCACUGUUUAAGAUUUACUGACACUGUGACCUCAAAGGAGAACAGUCUAUUCUAUUGACUUUUGACUGAAAACAUACCCUGCAUGUGAUCUCUCUUAGAUCAUUGUCUCUAGUGAUUGUCAAGGACUGCCAAAUAAUAUUGCUGCUAUUUUUCUGUGUUGCAGGAAAAACCCAAGAAAGAAGGUCCCAUGUCUUUAGAAGAGGCUGUAGAUGAUUCGGAGAACUUAACUGAUUUUCUUAUGGACUUCAAUGAAGAGGAGUGACAACAUUAGACUACUUCAAUUUUGCUGCCACAGCUAAAUCUACUCAACUGGUGAGUAUAAAGUAUUAUCUUAUUUUUACAAUUUGUGAUGGCGUGAUAUCCUCGGGAAAGUGAAAAAUUGGAAUGCAUAAAAGCACGCCUCCAAAUAUUUAAGCAAUUACUUAAAAUAGUACAAAAUAAAUUUUCUUUUGCAGAAUCUGAGAAAAGUACUGCACUUUUUCUUACAGAUAUUGUUCGAAUAAAAAUCAUUUAACUUGGCCACACCAAUCCCAAACUAAAAGCAAUCCAACCAUACUUGCAUUAGUGGUGAAAGAUGACAUUGGACACUACUGGCUGGAUGUGUCCGAAUGUUUGCUUGUUCCGUCUUUGAAUGGAAUUUAAUUCAUGCUUUAAUAGUUGUUAACCCGGAACCGACACAUUCUGAGUUUAGUUUUUGUCGAGCCAAGCCGGAAUGUCUUUGACUAAAAGCUGCACUUGGUUUUCUUGCAGAGUUCUGCAAGUCGUAUCUUGGACGAACAGAAAUCCACCACUCAAAACUUGAUGUGCGGAGUAUAUAUGUGGUUGCUUGAUUCAUCUAUUUGAGGCAUAUUCCGUAGAGAGCUCUUGCUGAUUCUAUGUGGCCGUGAAUGUUUGCCUGUAAUGUGCAUACGUAAAAUGGUGCACAUUUAAGCAACUCGAGUAUUUAGAUACUACAUGGUACAAUCAGUUGAUAGGUUGAGUUGCAGAUUUUAGAAUAUAAAAAAGUAGAAAAAUAAGCAAGUCCAAUUAGUCUCUUCUUUAGCAUGCAUCAAGGUAUCAAUCAAUAUGUUCAUUUUUCUAUAAUUAGAGAGAUGGAAAAGUAAAUGAUGCUCGCAAGAAUUUGCACAUAUACACUUGCGUAUAGGACGUACAUUUUAACCUUGUUGCAUUUGAACUCGCACAUUUCGGUCGUAGAUACAGAUUAAUAUCUGCAUGUUCAAUGACAUCUACAGAUUAAUAUCUGCAUGUUCAAUGACGUGUGUGCAUAUCAAUCAUAUUGAAUACANUUCGGGGCGGAUUCGGGGCGGGUCAAAAUUUUUUCUGUUUCCUGUCCCGAAUCCGUCUCGGAUCGUAAAACUUAUUCCGUUUCCUGCCCCGAAUCCGUUUAUUUUCUUCCAUUUACUGCCCCCGUCGGAGCGGAUCAGAGUAGGAGCUCCACCAACCCGGAUCCGUUUGCAUCCCUACUUGCGUAUACCACGUACAUUUCAACCUUGUUGCAUUUGAACUUGCACAUUUCGGUCGUAGAUACAUAUUAAAAUCUGCAGUUCAAUGACAUCUGCACAUUAAUAUCUUGCAUGUUCAAUGACGUGUGUGGAUAUCAAUCAUAUUGAAUACAUUAUUUUGCUAUCUAUUUUUGUACUACUGAUGCACGGUAAACCAAGUCUGAGAAAAUAUUACUGACAUAUAUAACUCGCAUCGUUAUUGAGUUAAUACAGUUUUCUAUCACGGUUUUCCAUUCGCAUAUAAUAUAAAACAUAGUAAAUUGACAUAAAUUGAUAAAGCUAAGCUCUGCUAGACAAUUCUUCAAGUUAGAGGCUGCAGCUUGCAAGCAGCUAUUGAGUCUAUGACCCACGUGUUGCUUGCGAUUUUACCGCUGCAAGCAUCAGCAAGAGCUUUAGCUUUGGCUCGUCGAAGAUCAAACACGACAGAAUCGCGAUUCGAAUUGCUCUUCUCUGGAUGCUCAAGGCUGUAGAUGAUGAAGGUUAAUGAAGAGUCAUCCAACAAUUUUUGUUGAUCUCUUGAGAUGGGUUUUCUUUGUAGAACAGUUCCUCCUGCUGCAGUAACAAGAUCCUGCAGAUAGCCUCUGUAGGAUAGCACAAAGUCUCCACUGAAAUAGAAUCGGAGGCCAUUAAAGAGUUUCGGUUCCUGCAGAUAAUAGCAGAAGAAUUAGGAUGGCAAAUUUGUCGAUGCGUUAGUUAUUCACCUGAGUCAUCUAUUUGUCAUUUUGUCAAACUACGAUCUCCCGGAUAGAUAGGAACAUGUUAGUCAUCAAGCUUUUGUAUGACUGCUUUAUUCUCUAUGUUCAUUUGAAUAUUUUUGAAAAGCCUGCGUACAUUUUUACCGACAUCCACAGUUCCAAUGAGUUGAUCGAUAAUGAAACCAAAGCUUACUGUUUAAUACCUCUGUUAGGAACCCUAAGCCACUGUUUGGUUGGGGGUUAAGGGGUGGAAUAACCCUUUAACCCCCAAUUUAUACCCAAACACCACUCUUAAGGGGUGGGGUUUACUAACUCCACCCCAAAUCGGAUUAGUGGGGUUUACUAACCCCACUCCCCCUCCCAACUUUAACCCCACACGCAUCCCGAGCCCUCACAUUUUUCUUCUUUAUCAAUCAUUAACCCCACUUCCCCUCCCAACUUUAACCCCGCACGCAUUCCGAGCCCUCACCUUUUUCUUCUUUAUCAAUCAUUAUUUUUUUAUCCCACCUACUCCAACCAAACACUUUUUUUCACUAUCCUAGACUAACUCCAACCUCGAACAAAACACAAAAAAACUUUAAUCCCACUUUAACCCUGAACUUAACCCUAUCCCUGGUAUAGUUACUUUUUCCUUAACCCCAAACCAAACGGAGGCUAAGAUUGUAUAUGUAGAUCAAACUGUUCAGUAGUACUUUAAGACACAGCGGAUAAUAAAGUAGGCUGCAAAACUAGGCCUAUACUUUGGAAUUAACUAAAUGAAGUGGCUAAACCGAUCUUUGCUUUUUGCAUAGCAUGUAGUUUCUCUACAUAAUUAGCAGCAAAAGUUUUAAGUGAGAAAAAUUACCUUGUUAAUGGCCUUCAAUCUUCCUAAUUUAGGUCCGCCACUAAUUCCAUGGACAUCAACAGUAAUUUCGAACUUCUCCUCAUCAACUGGUUCCAUAGCCUCCAUGCAAACUCUAAUCCCUGUUCAAGGACAUUUAUAUGAAAAUAAUAUGACUGACUUUAAAAAUCUUUUAAGAAAAAUAAUUCAUCGAGAUUAGUUGGCCUUACAGUUGAUAUUUACAAUCCAUUUCCCAUUAAGAAUGGCCAUCAAAAACUUAAGGGUUCUCUUGCAUGCCCCACUACCAUCUGUUGAUGUGAUAACAUGAGUUACUGCUGGGCUCCAGGUCUUCGUGAGCGGCACACCAGUCAUUUUCGUGAAUUGAGAAACAAUUUCCUGAACCCAAAUUUGCAGUUAGAACACUGUUAACUUAGGGAUAUUUGCCUUUAGCUGCUAAUUAAUGAAGAUCAAAACAACCUUCUCUUUAUUAGAAAGAGCCGAACAACAAAGAACCCACUUGCAUGGAGACCCAGAAGGCCAACUCCACAAAUUACUUGUAUCAUAACCAGAAUCCCUUGCUGAUGGAACUUGAGCUAUUGACCUGAAAAUGAGUAAUGCCGCCCAUAAAUUAGAGAAAUCUGAGCCAUAAAAUGUGAUAUUCCUAAUAUCUAAUUUCAUAUGUAGAUACCAGCUUAUUUAUACCCUUUUGAACUAGUUCUUUUGAUUUGCUUUUGGGCUUCAGAAGUUUCAAUCGGCAAUUUAGACGACCAAUGCAGAGGGCAUAGCAUAAUAAAGUUUUCCUGCAAUGUGGUUUAUUGAGUGCCAAUGUAGGAAUAAUACAUGAUCAAUCGUUUCACAAAUAAUGAUUGUGAAUAACAGAUAGAAGUAGAAGAAUGUAUAGCUUACAUUAUCCCAGCAGCACUCUGGGAUCAAUUUAGCACAGGUGUAGUGGAAACUCUUCCUACAGCUUUUCUCAAAGCAUCCAAGAGCGGCCCCUUUAAUGCCACAAACAAUGCAUUUUAUCCUUCUACUUCUUGCCAGUUCAGCAGCAAGAUUGAUGGCCGAAUCAUCUUCAAAGUAUACAUCAGGAGCCCUAAACGCAAAAGUGAAUCCUGCAUUUUAGUUUCACUAGGAAAAAUGGGGCUCUUACAUGUAUAUAUAUCCCUGCAAAAAUCAUCUAUUGAUGUUUGUACUCCUGUAAAAUCCAAACUUGAAAUAUAUAUAUCCCUCAAAGAGCUUCCUUUAGUUGAAGGGUCAUGCAAUUCAAGGAGGGCAUUGAUUUUGUAUUUAUACAAGGUGCUUCUAAAGAAGGGAAUUUCUGCAAGUACAAGGGCAUUAUAUGUAAUGCCCCAAUAGUCCCACAUUGAAUAAAAAAAUAAUACCGAUUGGAAUAUAUGAAACCUCACACACUAAUAAUAAUAAUUGAACUUAAAUAUUUUAGCCCGGUGGUUUGAGUGCAACGAGUUAUUGUUGCUGGCAGGUCGGGUCAUUAUAAUUAAUAUCAUAGCCAAAUACCAAACGAAAGUGUGAGAGUUAAGUGCUAUGCAGGACAAAGUGCUACACCAACGGAUUUGAUGGGAGCCACCUCUUAAACCCGUACGAGUCACCUCUAGAAUUUCACAUCGCCUGAUAAUCCUGAUAUAUAUUGUCCGUUUUGGUUUGGAGUUUGGACCCGACGAGGACAUGAGGAUAUAAACAGAGGGAGUUUGUAACACCCUAAUAGUCCCACAUUAGAUGAAAAAAUAAUUCUGAUUGAAAUAUAUGAGACCUCGCAGCUAAUAAUAAUAAUAACUAAACUUAAGAAUUUUGGGGACGGUGGUUUGGACCUAACGAGUUAUUAUUGCUAACAGGUCGGAUCGUUACAUAUAUAUACACUAACCUAUAGAAGGGCAUACGAAAACUCAGAUGCACAGGUAUAUAAUUAAUAGAUGCUUUUAAAGUUAUGUGUAAUACCUCUUAGUACCUCUUAAACAAAAAGGCAACAAAUUAGAUAGAAAACUCAAAGACUCACCAUUCAGUGCAGUUCUUGUGAGAGUGUAUGACAUUGGUCCCUCCACUAUAAUCUGCAGCUACUGGUUUGCCAUUGAAAUAAUGCAUCAUCUCUCCAGAAUCCUGAGGAAUUGUUCAGCACAAACUUUCUUUAUUAGCCUCGAAUAAGUCGCAAUCAACAGUGUAUUGGCAAUUGAUCGCACAAAUUUACCUCAGUGAUAUCAGCAGACUUGCAGAAAGCACAGACAACUUCAGGUGUAUAUUCACAUUUCUUCAGAACACAAUCAGUUGCUAUACUUUCCCCAUCCUUUUUAAGCUUUCUCACAGCUAAUGUAUCCGAUCUUUCACUAACUGCAUUGUUUCGUAACACAGCAGAGUCCAUUGUUGCAGGAGAAAUCAUAAGCUUAGCUCUUGCAGUUCUUCCACAUGUUUUUGAGUCAUAUUUCUGUCUAUUUACAAUCUUUGUCCCUUUUGCAGCUGUUGCAAUGCAAGAAUCUUUGCCAUCUUUACUUUUAUCGUCUAGAAAUUCUGGUACUGCUUUCAUCUUCGUGGUAUUUUUUCUGCCCAUUUUUCUCUUACUGACAGAUCCUGUAGGAAUUCCUUCAGUGAUUUCAUAUUUAACAUCAUCAGAUGUUUCCUUGAUUCGCUUUCUGUGGUUCUCCAAGCUGCUUGUCUUACUCCGUUUUUGAGCUUUUAGCAGAAUGUUUGAAUCCACUUUCUCUCCAUUCUUAUCGUUCACUCCUAUUGAUAUAGCUGGAAGCUGAUCGGAUGGUUCAGCCAAAGCCUGAUCUGUAUGGGUUAUUGGCAUUUCACCAGAGUUUAAAUUUUGGUGCGCAAGUAAAUGGUUACUGCUGUGAAUAUAUUUUCCUCUUGUUGUUGGAGGACUACUUUUAUCAGUAUCCUUGCGUACAUCAUUUGAAUUUUGAAGCAUUCCACUAGGAUUAUUCGUAAAUUCUUGGUGGGCAUCACUUGCUAUAUUAUGAGUAUUUCCACAAAUGGAUGAUUUCGCUCUCUUCUUCUUUGUUAUAUUGUUUCUCUUCCUAUUCUUUGAACCUCCUUUUCUGGCAUCAACCGUUUUAGGUUCAGCAUUUGUAAGACAAACAUUAUCACAUAAUUCUCCAACCUCCAUGAUUCCUCGGCAAUCUCUCUCUUGUAUCUGAUCAAGUUUUUGCCUGCCUUUAGUCUAAAUCAGCAGAAAUCUCUAUGUUAAGUGAAGAUUAAAAAGAAAGAAUCUGCUAUAAAUAAAAUGUAGCAUGCAAAAAUAAAAAAGACUUGAGUUCAAUUGAAUUACACACCAGUUUUUUCCGUGGUGUUGAACAUAGUUCAGGAGAGCAAGCCCUUUGAGUCCAUUCAAACAAUUCGCUGUCAAAAGCUUCCUGAGCCUUGGCUUUGCUCUGCACUCAAUGUUGUCAACUUAAUGACGUCAAACUUGGAGACCAAAAGAAAUUAUAUUCACUUAAUUACAAAAAUCUUACUUCUGGAGUCAUACUACAGGGCGCCUCAUCGUCUGAAUCUUUGAUAUCACUAAAACAAGGAGCAUUAUGUGAUGGAGGUGUAUCUAUUGUCUGCUGCACACUAGGUCUCUCAGCAUUUUCUUCAUCAUCUUCUUCCCUCAGCCAGAAAAAGGGUGAAAGAGAAGGACUUCCCUUGUUGUCAUAAGGUGCAACUGCACAGUUAUCUGUUUUAACAUCAUCCUGGGGCUCACUGCAUGAGUGUACUAACUUCAAGGCCUUUUUAGGCCUUUUUGGAGUCUCAGAUAUGGGGAAUGGUGUGACAUGAAUCCGUUUCUUUGCAGGGAAAGAAGGCUCUGUCGAUGGACGAGAAACAGGAUUCCGCGCAUUAGCUUUGCGCAGUCGCUUUUGUUUCUUCUUAUUCUUUUCUUUUCGUUCGUGUGCCGCUGAGGUUUCUGGUGCAUCGACAUUGUUUUCUUCAUCACCUUGUUUUGCUCCAUCUUUCAGCAUGAUUUACAAGAGGAAAGGGUUAGUAAUCAACACUCGAGAUUAUUAUUUGAUGCGAGCCUCGUCACUUGGCAUUUCUUGAGCUUUUAAGUAAACAGUAUCUGUAUCUGAUAGAGGACCGAAAGGACUAGAGAUCGCUUCAUACUUACCUGUAUUUUUCGCUGCGGGAGCUAAUUGAGUUGACAAAAUGCUAGUUCCUGUUGCAACCUCCAUGCUCUUGAAAAUGCUAACCAAGUUAUCCAUGUGAGGAGCAGCACGGACUUCUGCAACCACAUUGAACCAUAAUGAUUGCGACAAAGAAUUACACGUAAUUUAUAGCGAAAGAAAAGAACAAUCACACAUGAAAUGAACAAAUUAGACUGAUCCUAAUGUUUAAGCUAUUGUAGGACCAAAGUUCUCAAGGAAUUUGCAGAGAUCUGUUAUAAAAUGCUGUAUAUAAUCGUCGCUUAGCACAUAAGAGAUGAAAAGAGAUCAAGAGUAACGAUCCGACUGAGAUCCUAGACCAAAAUUCAGCAUAUACAUUAAAGAAUGAGACCAUUAUGAUACUCAAUCAAUAUCAUGAUCUCAACAAAAUUCAAACUAGUUGAAGCACAAUAUCCAUGACCAUGUAUAAUUGCAUUUAUUAUAGAUAAUCUAAUCAACUUGAUGUAUUGCCCAAUCUAUCUAAUCACAACAUGUUUUGUUCGAAAAGUUUUUAUCCUGCAAAGUAUACUAUUUCAAAUUCAAACAAACCUCUACGACGAAACGGAACUUUGCAAACCGGGCAGCUGGAGACGGUUUUCAUCGACUCGAGAAUGCACGAGCUGCGAAAAAAAACAAAAGUGACACAACGCCAAAUCAAACAACAAAUCACUCCUCUUAAUCCUAUGGAAUUAAAAACACCGAAUUAAAUCUUUUACGAAACGAGCAAAUCGAAACUUACUUGCAGAAGACAUGAUUGCACGAGAUCGAUGCCGCAGAUCGCAACAGGCUCCAGCUGCGAAAAGAGCAAGCGAAAAUUGGGAACGAGAUUAUCGGGAGUAAAAGAAAAACCCUAAACUAGCUAUGAAUUGGGGAAAUUGACGAAUUUAAACUCGAAAUCGAUGCAACGAAAAGGGAAAUGAAAAAGGGAAAAAUUGAAAGGAGAGAAGGUAAUGAGGCGAUAGAGGGGAGGGGGCAAGUAGUACCAAAUGGGGCACUCGAGCUCUCUACCCAUUUUCUCCAGAUGGGCUACAUCCGCCAUUGUUUUGCCCUAAGAAGAAGAGGUUGGGAGAGAGAGAGAGAAACAGAGAGAGAGAGAGAGAGAGAGAGAGAGAUUUUGAGGGGAAUUAAAAUGAGGAGAUAUGCGUAAGAUCGGAUGAUCGUGUUCGCUAAUCCCUCGCGCCGUGUACGGUUUUGUCUUUGGGACGUUUAAAUUUUUUGGCGGCAAUUUUCCCUCCGCCGAUAUUUUGCUUCAGCUUCGAAGAGGUGCGAAAAUAUCUGUGCUAGUAUUAGGGGUGGCAAUCCGACUCGUGUUCGGCUCGAAAUGAGUUUGAGAUUGAAAUAUUGAAUCACUCGUUCAGCAAACAAGUCCAGCAUAAGUUAAAAUUUUUGUCUUGUCUAAUAAACGAGUCGAACACGAGCUACGGUCAGCUCACUCGUAUUCGGCUCGAUAUCAGCUCGAAUAUAUAUAUAUAUAUUUUAUAUUUAUAUAUAUAAAUUAAUAAUUAUAUAUGUAUAUAAUAUAAAUUUUUAUUAUUUGAUUUUUAGUUCAACCUAAAUAUAAAGCCCAACUCAUUUAUAAAAUGAUCAUUUAUCUGUAAAAUUUUAAUUAUUAGAUCAAAGUAUGACUGACGGGUAAUAUUUUAUAAAUUUUUUUCUUAUAUAUAUUCUUUUUAAUACUUUUAAAUUUUUAUUCAUAAGCCAUCUCGUAUUCGGAUCGAUAUUUUAACGAGCCAGUUUGUGUUUGGCUCGUUUAUGAAACGAGCCGAUCCCAAUUCGCUCAUGUUCGGCUUGUUGACACUCCUAGCUAGUAUAAAAUGCAGGAAAACAAAACCAAAAAGAAAAAAAUUUGUGUAAAAUUGAAUCCAACUGGAGUGCUUCUAACAGUAUACAGAUAAUGUUUGCUGUCAAUUUUUUAAUUUUUGAAUGUCUAGAAUUUAGUAAUAAUAUGUGAAAUAGUAUUUGAUAUAAAAAUUUAAAAACUUGAUAGUUUGUACCAUUUAUAUACUAAUAAAAAAUUUAAAAUUGUACUUGUAAAAUUUUAUAAUGUUAUACUGUUAUUAUCUGGAUGUUAACUUUUCUGCAUUAAUCUUAUUAUUGUAUGAUUUUAAACAUUAACAAGUUAAAAAAUAUAUGAAUUCUUGAAUGGUGGUUGUAAGAUUUACGACCAAAAGGUUGGGCGUGCAAAUACUUAAAAAAAAAAAAAUUUAAAAAAAAUGCAUUAUAAGUAUAUAAUAUACGGAAUGUUAAGUAGUAAAUUUGUACAUUCGUGCAUCAGGAAACCAUACUUCAUCCAUCACAAAUUUUAUUUCUGAACGAAGGAUUGCAAAUAUUUCGUAUGAUAUGAGAUUUACAACAGGUGGGUUCAUGUUUCGCCUGAACAAAUUUGUAUAAUUGUUGUUCAAGUAAAUCUCUUUCUUAAACAGCUUCACCUUCUUAAUUAGUAGAUACAUUAACAUUCGAAUUGCGAAAGAGAAGUGUAGCUUCUUUUAUGUUCUUCACCUCUUAGCCAAAAUUGUGAUUUUAAAUUACAUAAACUAUCAGUUUACCAAUAAUCCUUGCAAGAACAUGCUCCCCCUCUAAAAUGAUGGAAUCUACUCCGAUCCCUCACCACAAUUUCUCUCUCAUAAAUCUUCGAAAUAAGUUUAGUCACCAAAUGGCAAUCUGCGCACACCCUCAAGUUCUUCACUAUCCGAAUCGGCGUCCCAGGCGCCGACUUAAGCAGUGCAAAAGCAAUGGCCAGCCUCUCACUGUGGUAGUUCAGCGCGGUCUCCUUUUCCUCCUCUUCAAUAUCAGCCAACACAUUGGUCGUCCGCGGAGCGUACCCUUCUAGUCUUAGCCUCUUCGCAAUUUCUUCGAGCUUCUCGUAUAUCUUCUCGCUCUCGGGAUGCGACCUAUCUCCCAUCACAAACUCGUACACGUAGUUGCCCAAUUCGACGAGGCUAUGGCCGGGCGUUUUCCUCACUCCGCCCUUCAACAUGCUCCGUCGAAGCCUGUGCACGUCCGCCCACCUCCCAACUGCGGCAUAGAGGUUAGAUAGAAGCACGUAGUCGCCGCUAUGUCCAGGGUCAAGUUCCACAAGCCGAGCCCAUGCGGCCUCCCCGAGAUCCAGUUUCUUGUGCAUCGCACAAGCGCCGAGCAAGGUCCUCCACACCACGGCAUUUGGCUCCGACGGCAUGUUUGCUAUGUAGUCGUGCGCCUCCUCGACCCGACCAGCUCUUCCCAACAGAUCAACCAUGCAACCGUAGUGCUCAAUCUUCGGUACGAUGCCGUACUCCUCUCUCAUUCUGUCAAAGUACCUAAACCCGUCAUCGACCAACCCGCAGUGGCUGCAAGCGUACAGCACCCCGAGCAAUGUGAUCUCCGUCGGGACAAGACGCUCCCUCUCCAUGACACGAAACAACUCGAGGGCUUCCUCACCAAGCCCAUUCAGCGCCAAUCCCACAAUCAAAGAAGUCCACGACACCACCGUCUUUGCCACGCCCAUUUCAUCGAACACCUUGUGAGCAUCCUCGACGCUCCCACACUUCGCAUACAAGUCUAUAAGCGCAUUCCCCACAUGCGAAUUCCGAUACAACCCAACCUUAAUGAGAUAAAGGUGAACCCUCCGUCCCAACGCCAAUGCGCCCAGCUCAGCGCAGGCGCAUAGCAAGCUAACCAGAGUGAACCCGUCGGGCUCGACGUCACCACCACCGCCGCCAUUUUCCGCGGUCAUCUCCCUGAACAGAGUAAGCACCUCAUUAGGCCUACCAUUCAACGCGAACCCAUUAAUUAUCGAGUUCCAGGUAACGAGAUUCCUCUCGGGCAUUCUCUCGAACACCUUGUAAGCGCUCUCAAAAAGGCCGCAGGCGCCGUAGAAGUGGACCAAACUGUUUUGCACGAACACCAAGGUUUCUAGGCCGUUCUUGAGGGAUUGGGCGUGGAUCUUUUCGCCGUCGCGGAGCGCCAUGAGCUUGGCGAGGGCCUUGAGGAGGAAAGGGUAAGUGUGGGAGUCGGGGGGCGCGCCCGCGGCGCGCAUGCGUCGGUGGACGAGGAGCGCGGGGCCGGGGAUGGGGCUCUCGGCGUAGGCGCGGAUCAUGGUGUUGAAGGUGAACACUGUGGGGUUGGGGACGAGGGAGAAGACGCGGUGGGCGUAGGGCAAGGGGGAGGGGGAGAGCGCGGCGAGGGCGAAGACGAGGUGCUUGGCGAGGAGCGGGUGAGCGAGGGGAACGCGCGUGCGGAUGGCGUGGGCGUGGAUCUGCUUGAGCGCGGCUAGGGUUUUGGGGCAUGUUUGGAGGAGGGCGACGCAGCGGUGGAGGGUCGGGGGUUUAGGGUUUGGGGUUGGGGGUGGGGAGGAGGAGGAGGGAGACGACGCCGCCUCCGAACUCGCCACCUCUCUCUCUCACUCUCUCUCUCUCUCUAUCUCACGAUCUCGGUCUCGGUCUCUGUUGCUCAUUGGGAGAAACGGUCUCCGUAUAUGCUUUGGUUUAAUCAAUAAAUGGGAAAUGUUGCUGGAAAGUCGCCCAAUGUUGCCCAAUGUUGCUGGAUCGCUAGACCGUCUCAAACAAUUGAUCGACAACUGGACUACAUUGCUCUGACGAUCCUCUUGUACCUCUCCUCCCUGCACCACUCUCCGUUGGGACUUUGAUCUCCCUUCCUCUUUCUUUUGUUUUUAAUUUAAUUUUGAGUUUUGCCGACUUUUCGGAGGCCUAAGCUGCUUUCAACUUGUAUGCCCAGUUUAUUUUAUCUAAUGAAUGAAGCAGGUAGCUUGCUAUCUAUUUCUCAAAAAAAACUAAAUGAAAAAUUUUCACUUAAAUUUACCUGGAAAUUAUAACCUCUGCUUCAAUUUCUAAUUUAAUUAAAUUCAGUUUAUUAUUUGAUAAAAAUAAAAACUACUUUUAUUUUUAAAUUUUCUUUCUUGUCUCUGAGCUUGCCACUUAAAUAACUUUUUUUUUUUUUUUCUCUCGUAGAAGUUUUUUGAAAGUUAGAUGCUCGAGUGCCCCAUUAAUAAAGGCUAAUCUAAGAAGUCAUAUCCCAGAGUUUUGUUCUUAACUAAAUUAUUAUUUUAAAAGGACCUUUAGCAAAAUCUUUUUUUAACAAUUUUUUUCGUCACCACCGUCCUUAGCGUAAGUAUAAAAGAACUUGGUGAUAAAUAUUUGAGUUUUUAAAUUUAAAAUCUAAUUAUUUUUUAUGAAAUAGUCAAGAUGAAGCCAAACUCAUUCCAUGUCUUAUUCGCUUCAACGUACUCUCAUAAGUACACAAACAUGCAUCAGAUACACACAUCUUAAUUAAAACUAAACGCAGCUACCGGAGCUCAGAUGCUCCUCCAUUUAUUUCCAAAUUAUUUCUUCCUCCAACUCAAGGUAUCCUGCACAAUUUUUUUUUUUUACAACAAAUAAACCUUUUUAAUUAGUCAAUCAAAGCAACUAAAUUCAACAUAAUUAUCGAAAAGCUCAACAUUACUUAAUUCGGUUAAAAUUUCUAAUCUUAAGUUAAAAUAAUGAACUCGAAGAGAUAAUUAUAAAAGAAAACAAAAAACAAUUUAUACAAAACAAUCAUUUUUUCUCAAAAAUUAUAAUUAAGCUAUCAAAAAACAGUAUUUUACGCUCACUGGUUGCACUUGUUGAGGUCUAUGAAGAAGUUGAGCGGCACGGCACACUGGCGCGGUAGGGCGUUGACGAGGUCGUAGCGGAGGCUCUUCAUGCGCGACGCUGCGCUCCUCAUGCAGUUGCAGGCGAGGCGGCGGUCGGCGGUGGUGGCCGCCAUGGCCUUCAGCCGCCUCACGCCGCCGCAGCACGGCCCCGUCGGCCUCGCCUGCUGCCCCGUCAGGUACUUCACGCACUGCGCCAAGUUCGAGCUCACGUCCCCGCACGACAGCGCCUGCGCCGGCUCCGCCAUCACGUACGCCGCCACCGCCGCCGCCAUCACCAACGUCGCCAGUGCACGUCUCAUUUUUCUCUUUUUUCCUUCUUUUUUCACGUACUAAUUACGUAUGAUAUAACUAUAAUAUGUAAUUGGAUAGUGGUGUGGGAGCUCCAGUUAACUAUGAGAAUCAAAUUGGACAUGCUAUAUAUAACAUUUUGGCAGGGUAUAUUUACAUAUAAAUUAAGGACCUUUAUCUUUGAAUCGAGAAAUAUAAUGACGAGAGAUUUUGCAUGGUAGUACAUCAAUGUUGGUGAUGGAUAUAUAUGUACAUGUAUAGAGGAGGUGGCUUUGAGUUGAGGGGACACGUAGAGUUAAAGCGUGGUGUGGUGACACGCUUAUAUACGAAACAUAUUUACGUAGAUGGUGACAAUGUAUAUAUUAAUGCGUAUGCUGCGAAGGAGGGAACAAAUUUGGAACGGAAUUAUGGGAAAGAUGCAUGUAACUUAGAGAGAGAGUAGUAACGGCGUUAGUUAUAUACUUAUAUUUACAUAGGUUCAAUUAUUUAUUGCUCAUCAGCAACAAAAUUAUACGUGCGUGCAAAAUUUUUGUGCAAUUCGAAAUUCAAGGGAAGCACUUUGGGAAGUAGCUAGAGGACUUUAUUUGGAUUUGCUUCGUUAUUUAUUGGCUUAUUGCAUAUCGGGUCAAGCCCAAGGCCCACAAAACCCGAUCCGUUACCAGUAUACGCGAUUCGUUGGAGAGUUUGCAUGGGCUCAAAAUGCUAUACAAAGCCAUUGAAAUAUUUUCAUGCAAACCAACGUAAGCCCGUUGGUUCCCAACACGUUAUGGUGCAUCGCAUCAACUCUUUUUUCUAUAUUGUUUCUCUCUUCUUAUACGAUGAUAAUUUUACCAUUUCAAUUAUAAAAUAUAUAUGCAGGUAUUUUUCCAAAAAUACAUACUGAUUAUUUUUUGCUAUUAUAUUAUUAUUUUUCUCGCCUGUAUUACAAUUUAUCCUCUCUUUUCUUCCAAAUAAUUUUAUAAAAAAUAAUCAGCAUGUUUAUAAUUAAUAUAUGAGAUGACCACGCGACAUUAAAUUAAGGUAGCUCAUAUAUAUAUAUAUAUAUAUAUAUAUAUAUAUAUAUACAGAGUCCGGCUACUAUACAAUUAUGAGUACGAUCGUCCUCGUACUCAUAAGUUGUUUUCGAUGAUAGAGCUUUCGAAUCGACGAUCCACACCGUUAAACGUUAUUUAGAGCAUUUGAAAUAUCUAGAAAUCAAAUUUUAUAAUUUUUCGACAUCAUUUACCUUACAAUCAAAAGAUCACAAAAUUGACAAUUUUUAACGGCCGGUAUGGAAUACUUGCUAGUUUAACGGUGCAAAAGAAUCCGAAUAGGUUGAAUUUUUUGAUCAAAAAUUAUAUUCAUACCUAGAUAAAAAUUAUAACUCCGAUCUUAAAUUGAAAGAUCCGAUCAUACCAUUUUUAAAACAAUCGUUCGAUUUUGACCGUUCAAUUUAUACCCGCUUGAUGACUUUAUUAAUUUCGGAAAAAUUAGAAUUUAUUUUCUAGAAGUUUUAAAUACUUCUAGAUCAUAUUUAACGAGUGGAUCGUCGAUUUGAAAGCUCCAUCAUCGAAAAUAAUUUAUGAGUACGAAAGACCCAAUAUUAUAAUAGUAUAGUAGCUUUACUAUAUAUAGCUUUACUAUUAUAUUAUAAUAUAUUAUAUAUAUUAUAUAUAUAUAUAUAUAUAUAUAUAUAUAUAUUAGUAUAGAGUAGGGCUAGAAUACUUUUACAAGUAUCACCCAAGUGAUACUUGUGUUUUAGCCAUUGGAUCUACUUUUUAUUAAUAAUAGUCCUUGAUCAAACACUAUUCAACCUACCACACCUACCACCACCUACCACGCUAUCUCAACCUUACAUACUCCCAUCCAAGGGCUAAAAACAACAAGUAUCACUUGGGUGAUUACUUUUACAAGUAUUCUAGCUCUACUCUCUCUCUCUCCUAUCAUAUAUAUAUAAUAUAGAGUUGAGCUAGAAUACUAUCGAGUAAACGGACCGUUUUACUUUUACUAUCGAUUUGUUUUUGAUGAUAGAGCUUCCAAAUUGACGAUCGGCUUCGUUAAACAUAAUCUAUACACUGAAGUGUUUAGAAAAUCAAAUUCAAAUCUUUUCGACAUCAUUUGCCUAAUUGGUCAAAGGGUUUUCAAAAUUGUAAUUUUAAUUAUUGAUAUGAGACGUUUUCUCGUUUAACGGCGUAAAGAUAUCCAAAUCAAUUGAAUUUUUGUUAGAAAAUUCUUUAAACUAUUUAAAACAAGAUCUAUACUCUUGAUCUUGAUUACAAGACUCUUAUCAUCAUUUUUUAAAGAGUAUUCAUUUUCAGCCAUUCAUUUUUCUGUUCACUUGAUGAAUAAAAGAACAAUAUCGAAAGUGCGUGAAAUUUGAUUUCUAUAUAGUUUAAAUGGUUUAGAUCAUAUUUAACGGAGCCGAUCAUCAAUUUGGAAGCUCUAUCAUCGAAAACAAAUCGGUAGUAAAACGGCUCGUUUACUACCGAUAGAAUACUAUCGGUAGUAAACGGAGCUAGAAUACUAUCGGUAGUAAAUGAGCCGUUUUACUACCGAUUUAUUUUUGAUGAUAGAAUUUCCAAAUUGACGAUCGGCUCUGUUGAACAUGAUCAAAUUUCGAUGAUAUGAGCACAUUAUUGGCUACUGAGACAGUAAAAGAGAAAAUUAAUUACAUAGGAGUAAAAAAUUAAAAGGAAAAAAUAAAGUCCACGGCAUCACGUGAGAGUGUCAGUCGUGGCGUCACCAUCGGCAUCAGGCUUCCUUCCCCUUGAUUCCUCCGCCAACCUUUUUCAAAGCUCGAGCUCCUCCUCCUAAUGUUCUCUCUCUCUCUCUCUCUCUCUCUCUCUCUCUCUCUCUAUAUAUAUAUAUAUAUAUAUAUAUAUAUAUAUAGUGAGGCUACUAUGCUAUCGGAAGCACGGAGCCUUCUGUACUUCCAGCUCGUUUUCGAUAUUGCGAUUUUCGAAUCGUCGAUCGGCUCCGUUAAACUUGAUCUAGAGUAUUUGGAAUAUAUAUAAAAUAAAUUUUAUUAUUUUUCGAUAUCAUUUGCCUAUUGAUCGAAUGGGCUCAAAAUUAACAAAUUUCAAUGGCCGUAGUGAGCCGUUUGCAAGUUUAACGGUGUAGAAAUAUCCAAAUCACGUGAAAUUUUGAUAGAAAAUUCUUUAUAUUAUAUAAAACAAGAUCAAUAUUUUUGAUUUAAAAUUUUAAUGUCAUAUUAUUACAUUUUGUAAGAUUUUAUUUUUCACUGUUGAUUUUGAGCCCCUUCGUUCACUAGGCAAAUGAUAUCGUAAAAUUAUAAAAUUUAUUUUCUAGGUACUUCAAAUACUCUAGAUCAAGUUUAACGAAGCCGAUCGACGAUUCGAAAGUCGCAACAUCGAAAACGAGCUGGAAGCACGAAAGGCUCCAUGCUUCCGAUAGCAUAGUAGCCUCACUCUAUAUAUAUAUAUUAGGAGCAAAGAAAUCUCCGCACUUCUAAGUAGUUUUUGAUGAUAGAGCUUCCGAAUCAAUGAUCAGCUCUGUUAGAUUUGAUUUAGGGUAUUUUAAAUAUUUUUUUAAAAAAUUAUAAUUUUUCGAUAUCAUUACCUAACGAUAAAAAAUGUUCAAAAUUUGAAAGGUGUUCAAAAUUUGAAAGGUUAAAAAUAAUAUUUUUUUAUUAACAUUUUAAACAAAAUAAAAUAAAAAAUUUAGAAAUUUUUCAAAAAUAUAUAAGCAAUUGUUUCUAAAUAUUAAAUUAUCUUAAUCCGAAGGCCAACUAUUUCACUGCGUGGACACGGUCCACCAAUCCAAGUUACCACAACAAGACACGUCAUCUAGUAGUUUAUUUUAUUUUAUUUUAUUUUAUUUUUUUUUAAAUGCUGUUUUGUCAACAACUUCCCCACAAUUCAUAAGAUUCAAACUUUUAUUCAAAAAUUUAGUGGUUAGAAUUUUAUGGCCAAAGUUAAUUUAUAAAAUAUUAUAAAAUUUGAUUGUAAGUAAGUAUAACAUUAUUCGUAAGUUAAAAUAUUAUAAUAUUAUCCAUAUAUCAUUUUUUUUUUGUUAGGGUCUAACAUUCGUUUGGCAUUUUAUAAACUCUUAGCCCCCGUUUGGUUCGGAGUUAAGAAAAAAUAGCUAUUCCAGAAAUAGGGUUAAGUUCAGGGUUAAAAUGGUGUUAACAUUUUUUUGUGUUUGGUUGGAGGUUGGAGUUAGUCUAGGAUAGUGAAAAAAAGUGUUUGAUUGGAGUAGGUGGGAUAAGAAGAUAAUGAUUGAUAAAAAAGAAAAAUGUGAGAGCUCGGGAUGCCUGCGGGGUUAAAGUUGGGAGGGGGAGUGAGGUUAAUGAUUGAUAAAGAAGAAAAAGGUGAGGGCUCGGGAUGCGUGCGGGUUAAAGUUGGGAGGGGGAGUGGGGUUAGUAAACUCUACUAACCUGGUUUGGGGUGGGGUUUACUAACCCCACCCUAAAAGAGUGGUGUUUGGGUAUAAAUUGGGGGUUAAUGGGUUAUU
Molecule: long non-coding RNA, 54420 nt
Filed under: Ananas comosus (pineapple)
Lineage: Eukaryota; Viridiplantae; Streptophyta; Magnoliopsida; Poales; Bromeliaceae
Description: long non-coding RNA (ACOM_LNC011428)
Source: RNAcentral